RNAcentral lists this long non-coding RNA (53761 nucleotides) under Citrus maxima (pomelo). RNAcentral's name for it is "long non-coding RNA (CMAX_LNC003448)". Lineage: Eukaryota; Viridiplantae; Streptophyta; Magnoliopsida; Sapindales; Rutaceae. The record is from RNAcentral.
CUUUUGACGACGACGAGAGAGCCUUCAACAUCCUUACGACUCCAUUGGCUGAGGUCGAUGUUGAACUCGUAGAAGGUGACAUGAGCGGCCGUGAUGAGGAUCUCCUCAAUGAAUGGAUCGAUUCGCUGAAGAACUGUCAGGUUUAGGAGUUUUGUGCUCUGCUGGUCCAGAUUAGGCAUCAAUUUUCCGUUAUGCGACAUUUUUCAUAGUCGUUUUGGGCUCUGCCCCGAGCACAAGCCCCAGGGUUUUUCUGUGAGCUCUCUCUUUUGUAAAUAAAGUGUUUGAUGAGAUAGCCGAGAGAGAGUGAAAGUGUUGAACAGCCAAACACGGUCUCGAGAUUGAUCUUGCUUUAACUUCUUUUAAACAUUUGGGAAAUAGCAUUUAUUUCUUUUAGUUUCUCUACUUUUUUUUUCCUUUAUGUCAUUUAGACCCCAAAAUUAGAUUUAUUAUAAUCCUAUUUUACCCAUACACUAUUAACCCCUUUUAUUUUUAAAAUUUGUCAAUAUUAAUGUGUUAGAAUAAUGUUAAAAAUCCCAAUUAUUAUCUCAAUGUUUCAAUCAUAACUAAUGUGAUAACUCAUUGGUAACUGCAACAUUAACUUAAUUAUUAAUGUAACACAAUAAAAGUUUCGUACAGAUUUUGAUAUUGAGAGUAACACAAUAAAAGUUUCAUACAGAUUUUGCAAACGAAAAGCACAUAAUACACUUAACUAGGAGGAAAAAUUAAGGUGUAUAUAUUACAAACUGCUAACAAUAUACAAUUGUAAAAAUCACUCACAAAUACUAGGCACCAAUAAGAGUAUGAUACAGCCAUUCUAAAUGAAAGAGAAUACAACUGUUUUACAACUAUGUCACAUCAAGAGAUAUGUUAGCAGGAUUAAUCCAGAUACCUUCGAACCCAAUUAACGAACUCGAGUCAGAAACCAGGGGCCCCCAACUAAACCUUACAAUCUUGAAGGAAGAAGGAGACUCGUGGUCCAGAUAGGUGACUUACUAGAUCUCCUGCAAAAGAGAAUAUCUAUUGCUUUGAACCUCCAUUGAAAUUUUUUUUUCCCUUUUUCUUGUUUUGACUUGGAACUUUCCAACAUCAUCUAUUUGAUCUUUUUUGAAGGUAAAAUAGCAAUCUAUAGGUUGCCAACAUGUUAUUCUGCCAAACCCCACCCCACCCCCCCGGGGGACAACAAAUCGACCUAGCACACACCUUUCUUCAUUGCCCACACCUACAGAACUAUAAUAAAAAGACUACGUUACUAUUGGGGUAGAGAAAAUAUACAGACUGUAUUAUUAUUACAUCGCAUUUUACUAAUUAACUAGUGCAAGACUUCUUUAGUGUCAAAUCAAGAACUAAUUAGAAAAGACAACUCAUGAUAAUACAGACCUUAAUAAGCAAUUGCUAACAACAUCCCAUAUACUCCUAUUUUAGCCUUCAUUAUCCUGGUAAAAACACAAAUAAGUCUUGCAAACGAACAUUUAUAAGUAAAUUCAACAUUAAUUAAGAUUAGGUAUCUACUGCACCUAAUAGCAUGGUCAACCAUCCAGUUCCUGUAGCCUUCCAUGUACCUAUGUUAGUUACAUUUUACAUAUUAAGCCACGAAAACGAAGAAUCACAGCCUGGUAAAGAAAGACAUUAAUUAAUAGUUUUUGUUUAAAAAGUUCUCCUUUAGAUCUUUCCUAUUCAAUGAAUCAAUGUAAUCUAAAGAGAAUUCUUCCAUUUCAAACAGUGUUAGAAGGUAUUUGCAAAGCCUAAAGAUAAUAUACAAGGACCAAGAUAUACACAGAUGGUUUCUUUAUGGAAUUAAAGAGCUUUAUAGAUGUUAAAACUGUUUCAAACAAUUUUUCUUGUUUGGUUUAACUAAGGAAAAGCUUGUGGAAGAUUAAAAAUGAUGUUUCCUAUUCUCUGUAGGAAACUUUUAGGAGAUUUUUUGGGCUUUUUUGAAAGGUUGAAUUGUCAAAAAUACCUUGAUGUUAUUGUUUGCUAAAAGAUGUUACGGACAUCUAAACAACCAACAACAUUUUGUUAAAAGCUCUACUAGUGUAGGAUCUACUUAAAGAAGCUAUACCAAACAGACUCUUAGACUGAAUAACUCGAUCUUAAGUUUGUAAAAUUGGGCUCAGAAUCUCCACUAACAACCCCGCUUCGGUGAGAAAGCCCAAGCCUGUUACUUUGUAUAACCUUAUUCUGUAUGUUUGAUUGCAGGAACUGGCCGAUCAUACCGACGAGGUGAGUGUGCAACAUGAGGUGCUUGACGGGAUGUUUACUUUCUAUGAUACAACUAAAGCUAGCCUCAACAUAUAUCAGGUGCCUGCUUGUUUUUACCUUCUAGAUACUAAUAUUGUUUAGACGUGUAAUCUCUCUCUCCAUUGAACGCUAGACGGCUCGUCUCAAGCCUUCUACGUACUUCAGAGUCCUUCACUAGCUUUUUAUGUAUAAAGUUUUGAUCUUUUUCCUUCAUUUGCUUGAAGCUCAUUACUGCAGAUUUUUUUUACAGGUUGGUAGUGUAACAUUCGACUUGCUGUUGCUUCUAGUCUUGGGAUCGUAUUUAAUUGUGCUUUUCAGCUUUCUUGUCAUAACAACUAGGGUAUCACUCUUUCUCCAUAUCAAGCUUGAAGUUCUAAAUUUCAGUUUUAUCUUUUAUUUGAUGUUUUAUAAUUUCAUUGCAAACAGAUUAGAAUAGAAACUUCAAAAGUUCCAACUGACUAGUCCCGUGUAACUUUUUCAGGGAAGAUUUUCUCUCAUAACAACUACGAACGUGUUAUGGUUUAGCCCAGUGACACAAAGGACAGUUUUCAACAAUUGAUCCUAGGAAGAUGCCCAUAGCUUGUUGUGCCAAAAAUAGAAAAUCUAAGAUGCGAAAAAAUUUUGUUGAGAUUCAUUUUUCAUCCUGAUGUUACCGCUGGCCUUUUUUUUUUUUUUUUUUGGCAGAGAAUAAUGCUUAUGUGAUUUCUGAACUUGGUGAUUGUUGAAAUGAGCUGAAAAUGAGCUGGAAAUGUGUUUGGUUAAUGAGAAAGAGAGCAAGAAAAUGAAAGAAAUCUAUUUCACUUUUUAUUUAUCAGCAUGAUUACAUUCACAAUGAAUCUAAGCUGCUAUUUAUACUUAAAUGACUACACACGAGAAUCUUCUUGCUAGAUACUUCUAGAAACUCUACACGCACACUCACACUGAGCUAGUGGUUACCAAAACCGUUACAACGAUAUUGCCAGCUCAGCAUAACCAACUUAUAACUAACACACUCAGCUGCAGGGGAAACCAUCAAGCUUACUGUGCGUCCUCUGUAAUCAAGCUUCUUUAAGCAUGCUCUGCAGAUCAUACGUCUGAAUUAUCGAAACAAGAUGAAUUAUUUUUUGUUUAUUGCAGCAGGCGAUCAAUGAGCGGAAUUUCUAGCUUGUAUUCAAUUCGCGAACACAGUUUGAGAAGAAUCAGACCAUUAAUUUUCUUUUGAGCCAAUCAACAGAAUGUACAUUUCUUCUAAGAACUUGUAACCGAAACCGCAGUUUUUCAGGUUUGAUGCAUCUGGGAAAAUUGUCAGAUGGAAUAAAACCACCAUGCGCCAAGGUACCAAUGAUGUUUCUUCCAGCUUAUGAGCACUUCAAAUAAACUUAGGUCAUAUUUACACAAGGGCGCACAUGAUAUCAAUCUAAUGGCAAUUAUAUCAUCUAAAAUCCAAAACCAAGAGUCUCCCAUUUUCCCGCCCUCUACUCUGUUCGUAUUAUCAUAACUUGAAGAUUGCAAGGCAGCCGCAAUCUCCCAGAUCUUUGCUCCUUCCUCAUAGCAGUUAGUCAAACGAUAAACAGAGAUAUCCCAUGUCAACAAGAAGGUAAUCAUAAAAGAACAACAGAAUUGUUGCAAUAUAUUCAUAUGAAAUGUAAAACAAUUUUGAGAAAAAAUAUUGGGAAGAUGAUUUUUUUUUUCAUAGAAGUUGCAAUCUUUACGUUAUAUGCUAGUUUGACUAUGCUAUAUAAGGAAGCUAUAUGAAAUUAGAAAAAUAAGCUAUACUAGGAAAGAAUAAAUAUAUGUACAGAAAAUGAGGCUAUAAUCCCUGACUUUCAACAAAUUUAAUAUCAAUUUUCUUCUGGAAGUUGUCUCAAAUGGGGUGCAUCAGUAUUGUAACAUACUGUGAGAUGCUUAAACUCAACAAUAUAAGCAUGGUAAAUUAGAGAAAAAUGAUGCAAUUUUACCUUCCCAUUCAUGUAUGCCAAGGCUUUUUGGGCUUCCUCUUCUGUACUGAAAGUCACAUACCCGUAACCUUUUGAUCUAUUCUUACCUUUAUCCAUUAUUAUUGUAGCUGCAAAAAGAAAAGAACCGGAUAUUACAAAAUAGUGAAAGGGAAGAGGGGUUGAGACUUAAAACAGAAAUAGACCAAACCCUCAGUGACUUGGCCAAAUUGUGAAAAAGCAUCAGCUAACAUCUCUUUAGUGGUCGAGAAAGAUACGCCUGCAAAGAAUGCCAGUUAAUUUUAUCAUAAUUAGAUGGUAAGAUUGCAAAUUCUGCAGCCAAAGGUGGUACGGAACUGAAUGAAGGAAAUCAAAUAUGAAUAUGUUUUCAAUCUUAAAAUAUUAAGAGUAGCAUAAGUAACUUGUGAAACAGUUAUAAGUUCAAGGGAAUUAGAUGAUGGCAUGGUUGAAUUUUAUAAAUAUUUGAUAUUUUGGACCGAACAGGGCAAACAGAUGGAUCCAGAUAAUCAAGAAAAACAUCAAUUCCAUGCAGCCAAAUUAGUGUGGGCAAUGCAAUUGAGCAACACUAUAAAAUUAUUCAAAGAAAUCUCUAGGUCAGUAUCCAAAUAUAUGGCUCCGUCCGUUCCACCACCACAACCAAAAAAAUCAGAUCCCCCCAUUUGGAUUCGAUUGAUUAAUUUGAGCAUAAAAAAUCGGGUUUUAAACUUCCCUAAGCAAAAUUUAUAUUCCACAGAAUCAGUUCCUUUAACAUGAUGCAUUACAUAAUAUUUUGUUUGCAAAAUAAAGAAGAAAGAUGACAUAAUAGAAACACUCACAGAGAGAGAAUACCUUUGACGAAAAGCUUAGAAGUGAAUCCUCUGUAAAAUACGAGUUGAGCUGCUGAAUUUUUCGAGUUUGAAUGAGAGACUGCGGCAAUUCUGAAAAUGUUUUUUUCUCAUUAGCGCCGCCAUUUUUGUAAUAGAGGGUAAAGAAAUAAGUAACAAAGUAAGAGGUGAGCAGAAGCGGCCCAAUUUAGUUAUAUGCCAUGCAUGCGAUCAAAAUUGAAUGGUUAAAUGGCAGCCACUAUGUUACAUCUUGUGUAAGUAACAAACCGCCUACAUGGAUCGUUGGAUUUGGGAAUAUGAAAUCCAAUGGAUAAUAUUGAAUUUAACGAAAAAUAGAUUACAGGUUGCAUUAGUCCAAGUUUAUUUCAAACAAACCAGCUGAUGAAAUAGCCGCUAAUCGAAUUUAAAAGGGAAAAAAAAUCAAAUUAUAGGUUAUAGAUCUUAUUUCCAUCUUAAAUCUAUGUCUUUCAUGGUGACUCAAUGUGUAUACUAAUUUAUAAUUUGGAUCUAUAUUAGAGGCUUAGAGCCAAUGCUUCCCUAAAUAACUAAGAAAAUUUUCUUUUCAUUGAUUAAAUAUUUAUUUCCAAUAUCUUGUAUAUGUAGGAUUUGAAAAGAGGGAAAAUAGUAGGGAUGAUGAUGAGAGAAGAUAAAGAUGUCGAUUCUCAAAUCUAAUAUUAAUGCUAUACUUAUAUUCCUAUAGUAAAUAAAUUAUCCAAGGUUCGUGGUUAAUGAUACGUUGCGAAAUUUUAACUGUCUAAUAUGGCUUUUCAUAAAGCUUAGAGAAAAGUAGGGCUUUUACAAAAAAAAAAAUUUAAUUAGAAUUGUCAAUGAUAAAUUUUAAAAAGUACUUUAAUAAAUAAGCUUUUAAAAUUAUAUAUAUUAUGAAAGAAAUGAAAUAAGAUUAUAUAAUAAAUUAAGAGUAUCUUAGAUAAUUGAACUUUAAAAAUAAAACUUGCUAAGAGGUUUAAAAUUUGAGUUUUUAAUAGUGGAUACAAAAUAGUUUAUUUAAUUCUCAAAAGUACUAUUCAAAAUACAACCAUGUAACACAAAAAUUUUUAAUAAGUUUUUUGGACUAGUUAAGUACUUUUUUUGAAAAAAAAUAUAUUUUUUUCAUUGAGUAAAUAAUACUAAACAUGCACUAAAGUGUUAGGACCAGAAGUUGUACAAAUAAAACCAUGAAAUUAUAUGUUGUUGGAUGGAUAUUUUUCAAAUUUGCUGUAGUUUUUUUUUUUUAAUUUUCUGCUGGGAAAUUGAAAUGAUGGCUACAACUUAAAUUAUGAAUGGAGUAAUCGGAGAAUAUUGAAACCCAUUUAAUUUGGAUCGUGCAUUGAGGGACGAAAGGAUAAAAAAUUUAAUUUUGAAAUUGCUGUUGGGUACGGUACAAUGACUUACCGUUGACAGCUUUUGCAACCGGAUUACAAUCGGUUAGUUCAAUAAUUUUAUAUCCCUAUUUAACCGCCACGUGCUGCUGUUACAUGGGUCAAUUAAUCAUGUCUUUACCGAUACUUACAACUGCUGGUUAAAUUCUGUUGUUUCCAAUAAUUUUAUGCUGUAUCUUCUUUAAUAAUAAAGAAAACUUGCAUUAAAAUUAAAAUUAGGGUAAUACCUGAUUUUAUAAAUAGAUUGCAAUGUAAUUUUGAAAAAUAAAACAAUAAUUUACAAAAUGUUUAUAACAUAAUUUUAAUUUUUUUCAAAAAGGAAAAACAACAAAAGUAAGAAAUAGAGAAUAAGGGCUACCAACUUUGUAUCUUAAACGGCCGUUAAAUUAUUUGUAAAUGAAAGCAACGGUCAGAUAUUGGUGGAUUAUGGAAACAUGUAAUCAUAAGGACUACGAGUUUUUUUUGUUACAUUGAUAUAUUACAAUUAAAAUUCUAUUGGUAUUUACAACUAGAAUUUCAUCUGACUAUCUUUGAUAAUUCUAAACUAGUACAGCCCAAAUUCUUAUUCUCAUAUAAUAUCAAAGAUAGAUAUAUAUUCUUUUCCUCCAUUAAUAACGAGACAUUUUUACUUCUAUCCAAUUUAAAUAGAACAAGAAUUAAGUCAUUUUAAUAGUUAGGACUCAGAACUCAUACACACUAGUUUGAGAGUGUGGGGUGUGACAAUGGGCCAAGAGACCAUUGACAAGUACAAAAGAGUGGUAGAAAUUAAUUCAAACCGCUACACACGCUAUUGCAACCAAAUUGAGGGCCCAUUUUUGUUUAUUUCGUUGAAAAGUAGUCUGUAAAAUUAACUCAAACCGCUACAUACGCUAUUGCAACCCAAUUGAGGGCCCAUUUUUGUUUAUUUUGUUGAAAAGCAGUUUGCGCAAUUAAUUCAAACUGCUACACACGCUAUUGCAUCUUUUGAAAAAGAAAAAUGGAAUAGUUUUUCAAAAUUAGUUUAGAGAAUAAGAUUUACUAAUAAUGAUGUUAGAAAUCUUAAUAUUUGAAUCUUAAUAUUAUCUAUCACUCGUUUAUUAAAUAAUAGAUUUCAUAGUUUGUAAAAUUACUUAACCACUUGAUAAAUGUUAUAUUUGUUGGGACUAGAUUGGGACUUAAAUAUUGGAAUAUCUAGUAUUGCAUAAAAAAAAAAAAACUUAACAAUUUAUCUUCACACGACUAAUUGUUUUUACAUCACAACUAACCUUAAUUAUUUUAAAAGUUAUAGUAUUAUUAAAUUGCCCUAACUAGUUAUCAAAAGGUGAAAGCAUGUUUAAAAAAGAAAUUACUAAGAAACAUUUGUUUAAACGAAGGUUAAGGUUAUGAUCAAUUAAUUAAGAAGAAACUUACUAUCAAAGGUUAAGAUUAUGAACAAUUUAAGGAAGUUAUUGAGUAGAGAAAGGGACAGAAUGGUUGUCUGAUUUGUCGGUGACAAGAAUGCUUGUGUUGUGAAAAGAAAGCCGAUGGUUUGUAAAUUUGUUGAAUUGGUCCCAAUUAGUAUAGUAACCAUCUAUUGAGCGGUAAAAUAUUAAUUUAAAUAGUCAUGAAAUCUAAUAUAUAAUAGAUUACUAACACACAUAAAUUAAAACUUAAUUGUCAGAAAUCAUAACAUUAUUCUAAGCUUCAGUGGAGUUCUCUUAACAGAUUAUGUGAGAUUGCCUAUAUUAAAAAUAUGUUGAGACUGCUUGUUGAAAGCAAUAUUCGCUUUUCCAUUAUAUCCAUAACUUUGAAUUGAUAAAGUUGUAUUCAGCAGCUCUUGAAAAGACUAAUUUAUUUUAACUAGUCAUAGAAAUAAGAGAGAAAAGGGGCUAUUUCUUGACUCAAAGUCAAUUAUAAUUAUCAAAACUUGAGGGGACAUCGCAUGCCUAAAUUCCACGCACCCUAAUACGGUUUGAUUUGCUUUCACGCGUUCAUGAAUUUCCAUGAAAGAGCCUGCCUUUCGUCUCUUUCGGGACAGUGACUACAAUAAUGGAAAAAAUUAUAAUUCUCGUUAGAUUGUAACCAAAUUAUUAUCCCUAAUUUUUUUAAGUUACAUAUAAUAAAAUUCAUGCUUAAGUAUUUAGUAAUUAGAGAGAGAUAGAGAGGAUUGAGGGCCAAUGUUUCGCGAUUUGGGGUCAAUUCAAAGUCAACUAACGUGAAAAACACGUGUAUGCAUAGAAAACGCUUAGAUUAUUUGUGUUCCAAGUGCAAGAAAUUAAGAAAAGAAAAAUUGAUUUCCUUUCAUGAACUUCCAAGAAAGAAAGAAGACCCUUCACCUUCUUCGUUACAACAAAUGAAUGAAUGAUGUUGAUAUGACAAAUACAAGCGCUAUUACAGGGAACAACAUAAGACUGAGACUUGAUAAAGUGUUUGUUAAAUUACAUGUUAUUUUCUUUUAACUUGAAUGAUGUUGAAAAUAAAAUAAAAUAAAAUUGUAAUCAGGGUGAUGUGUGGAAUAUAGUGAAAUAAAUAAAUAGAGAAGAGAAAUUUGUUGAUCAAUAUUAAAGACACAUCCAAAGUGAUCGUCAAAGUCUAGAGGUUCGGUAUGAUUAGCAUUUAUUUUAUUUUUUUUGGCUUAGCAUCAUAUAUAGUCACCUGUCGUGUGAUCUAGGACAGGUUUAGAAAUCCUUUUAUUUUAACUUCUGUAUUCUUAUUAUUUAAUUAGUUAUAGGGUUUUUAAGUAUUUGAGUAUUGAUCACAUGUCUCCUAAUCUAAAAAUAUGUUUUUACGAGUACAAAUAACAAACUAGGAUUUUAACAGCCUUUUAUACUAAACCCUAAAAAUACAUGAAUUUAUCAAAAUAAGUAAAUUAAUUUAAAUUAGUAUGGCAUAGUAGAAGUUUUACCUGCCGAAACAAAUUAAAAAAAUAUUACACUUAAAUCAAAUAUUGACAAAAAUAGAUAACAAUCUAAUGAGAAUCUUAACUAGACAUUUUUACUUCUAUCCAAUUUAACUGGAAUGAGAAUUAAGUCAUGUCAAUAGUUAGGACUCAUAACUCAUACACACUAAUUUGAGAGUGUGGGGUGUGACAAUGGGUCAAAAGACCAUUGACAAGUAUAAAAGAGUGGUCGUAAUUAAUUCAAACCGCUACACACGCUAUAUUGAGGGCCCACUUUUGUUUAUUUCGUUGAAAAGUAGUUUUCACAAUUAAUUCAAACUGCUACACAUGCUAUUGCGUUUUUUUUUUUUUUUUUUUUUUUGAAGGGAAGCAAUUUCAUUAAACCAAAACGAAUUACAGACUAUGUAAUAACCACAAAGGUGGAACGAAAUUCCACUCUUGGGGACCUGACAUAGAACCUACUGCCCUUGCAACAGAGUGAGCAGCCAGGUUCGUAGACCGACGUACAAACGAGAAUUGUACUUCUCCUAAAGACUUAGCUAAAGCUCGACAUUCAUCAACUAUUAAACCAAAACCGUUAGGCCCUGAAAACUCCUCAACUAGAGCUUGAAAUACUUGUAAACAAUCAGUUUCAACAAUGACACAAGGAAAUUGUAAGCCUUUAAGCCAACUAAGGGCCUCCCGAAUACCAAGAGCUUCAGCCUCCCUUGCUCCAAAAUUCCCAGCCAUUCCAGCACAUCUUGCUGUUAAGAAAACACCCUCUGAAUUUCGAAGCACACACCCAAAACCAAUAUUUCCCUGAGAUGAAAAGAUAGCAGCGUCAACAUUACGUUUGACCCAACCAAACUUUGGCCUCUCCCAACAUAUUGCCCCAUGGACCAGCUUAUGGACAUCAGUAUCAGCAUAGAAUUGUUGCUUCUUUGCUGCUUGCCACUGAUAGAGAAGUUGCCCAGCAGAAUUGAGCACUUGAUUCACUGAACCAGUUUUGUUAUUCCAUACUUUGUCAUUCCGAUUAAUCCAAACUCUCCAGCAGAUCAUCAUGGCAACAUGGCAUUCUUCUUUGCUGCAGCGUGUAAAGAUGUGAUCAAGCCACUCUAAGAAAGAAUAACAAUGGCCAACAAAACCCACAGAGGAAGAAAUCCAGCAAGCCUUAGCAACAUUACACUCAACCAACGAAUGGAGAAUAGUUUCAUCAGAAGCAAGACACACAGCACAAGUAGGGGGGAUAUUCACCCUCUUAGAAAUUAAAUUAACUGCAGUAGGCAGCACAUUAGUUGCCGCUCGCCAAACAAAAUUCUUAACCUUAUUCGGCACAUUCAAGUUCCAUAGUUUUCGCCACACAUCUGUGAAAGGGCCAGGGGUAAGAGAAUGUAAAACGUUAUAACAGCUACGGACUGAAUAGCAUCCGCGAGAAUCAGCCAACCAAUACCACACAUCAUCAUUUCGGCGGGAACUAAGGGGAAUUUGAAGAAUCAACUCCUUGUCUCUUGCGUUGAAAAGAUCCAAAACAAGAUCAUAAUCCCAAGCUCGUUGAUUAGGCACCAGUAAACUACUAACAGGAGCUGCAGCAAGCUCGGCAUGGAGAUUAGAAGGAACAAAUCCAUUAUUAGUAUCAGGAAGCCACGGAUCCUUACCAAUGAAGAUCGAAUUUCCACAGCCAACUUGCAGUCUACUCCCUUGAAUUACCACAUCCUUUGCAGCCAAAAUAGAGCGCCACAUAUAGCUAGGAUUAUGCCCCGCAGAAGCUUGAAGAACAGAGGUGCGCGGAUGGUAGCGAGCUUUAAUUAUCUUGGCCACAAGAGAUUCCGGACAAGUUAACAGCUUCCACAUUUCCUUUCCUAACAUCGCUAUAUUGAAUAAAUGAAGUUGUUUAAAACCAAGGCCACCAUAUCCUUUUGGUUUGCACAGAUUUUCCCAUUUGGACCAGUUUAAAAAAGAAAAAUGGAAUAGUUUUCCAAAAUUAAUUCAGAGAAGAAGAUUUACUAAUAAUGAUGUUAGAAAUCUUAAUAUUAUGUAUCACUCAUUUAUUAAAUAAUAGAUUUCAUAGUUUGUAAAUUUACUUAACCACUUGAUAAAUGUUAUAUUUGUUUGAAUUGAUCCAAUAGCUCUUGAAAAGCACAUAAUAAUCAUUAUAAAUUUAAUCAAAGACUAAGCAGGUCUUCUUUGCAUUUGAUCACUGGCAUUUCAGUUAAGUUUGUCAUUUAUUUAAAUUUUUCUUGCUUUCAAUUUCCACUGUUGUUUUUUUUAAUAAAAUAAUUUAUUUAAACUAGUCAUAGAAAUAAGAGAGAAAGGGCGCCAUUUCUUGACUCAAAGUCAAUUAUAAUUAUCAAAACUUGAGCGGACAUUGCAUGCCUAAAUUCCACGCACCCUAAAACGGUUUGAUUUGCUUUCACGCGUUCAUGAUUUUGCAUGAAAGAGAGUGCCUCUCGUCUCUUUCCGGACAGUGACUGCAAUUAUGUUAACGUGACGAAUACAAAACGUUAUUACAUACAAGAAUAAGUUUUUGGAGCCGAUACUUGAGGGAGGUUCUAUCUAAUUCUAAAGAUUGUAACCAAAUCAUUAUCCCUAAUUUUUUUAAGUUAAAUAAAAUAAAAUUCAUGCUUAAGUAUAAAUAAUUUUUUUAAGUUAAAUAUAAAAUAAAAUUCAUGAACUUCCUAGAAAGAAAGAAGACCCUUCACCUUCUUCGCGACAACAAAUGAUGUUGACAUGACAAAUACAAGCUCUAUUACAGGGAACAGCAUGAGACCGAGACUUGAUAAAUAUUAAAUAUAUAAAAUAAGUGGAGCAAACGAACAGAAUAAUAGAUUUUUAUAAUAUUCUUCAUAAAAAUCCAAGUUUUGAGCUGGCCUAUAAGCUUAUCUAGUGAAGUCUGGGUAUCCGCGUUGCCCAAGGUUCCGUUUGAAUCCAGGCCGUGUAGAUGUUUAAGACAUCGCAUAUGGACGGAGUGGAAAUAUUUUCAGUUGACUGAAUUAAAUAAAAAUAUAUUACAAUCAUAUUAUAUAUUAGCAGCAAAAAUAAAAAGAAAUGAAGAAAAACGCAUGCAAGACUUAGACAAGUCAAUUAAAAGCUGGGAGUAUCAUCAGUUCAAUUGAUUAUAAAUAGCGUAGAGCCAUCCUCUCGUUGUUGCAGAACUGAAGCAAAGAGACUCAGAAAGAGUGUGUGUAGGUGAUUAUAAUUAAGAAGAUAUAAUGUGUGGUUCAAAAAGAGUGUGGGUGAGUGAGUUAAUUUUCAUAUUAUUAGUAGUAAAAGGGUGGUGGAGUGAGGGAUGUUUGGAGCAAGAGAGGUCUGCUCUCCUACAACUCAGACAUUUCUUCAAUGAUGAUCAACUUCUUCAAAACUGGGUAGACGAUGAGUAUUAUUCAGAUUGUUGUCAGUGGGAACGGGUUGAGUGCAACGACACCACUGGAAGAGUGAUUGAAUUACAACUACUAGAAACUCGAAAACAGGGAUCAGCAGAGUGGUAUAUGAAUGCCUCUCUGUUUACUCCAUUUCAACAAUUAGAGUCUCUUGAUUUAAUGGGGAACAAUAUAGCCGGUUGUGUUGAAAAUGAAGGUCCUUAAUUUACUCUAUUUUAAUUCUUCCUCGUAAUUUCUUACAUUUAUCUGAUCCCUUUUGAUUUUUGUUUAAUUUAUUCGUGAUACAAUAAAAUUACUUUUUAUUUUUUGUCAGGUCUAGAUAGGUUAUCAAGGUUGAACAACUUGAAGUUUCUUUACUUAAACCUUAACCACUUCAACAACAGCAUCUUUUCAUCCAUAGGUGGUCUUUCAUCACUCAGACGCUUAUCAUUGGCUAGUAAUGAAUUGAAUGGAAGUAUUGAUAUUAAAGGUAAGCAAGCUUCAUCCCUUCUCCCGUGUCCCAUCUUUUGUGGAUCUUAUUUUAUUGACCGGCUGGAAGUAUUGAUAUAAGAUCUGGCUAGACUCUUGCUAGUUUAAGCUUCAAGGAUUUAAAUAUUAUAAAAAUAGGUUUAAGAAAUUAUCAAUAUAUGCAAUUUUCAAUGCUUCUCAUAAUCAGACACAAUUCAAUCUAAUUAUUUUGUAUGUCCUGUCUUCAAAAGUAAAGAAUUGUACACUAAAUGGAAAUCGACAUCGUAGCUUUUUAUUUUUUCUAAUGCUCUUUUUUCGUUAACGAGUUUAUAUCCUAAGAGGGAUUGGAUUGAAAAAAAAAAAAGUUUUGAUGUUCAAGGUAGGCCAUAAUAACCCGCAUCUUAUUUGUCUGCCUGUAUCUAAAUUUGUGCACUGAAUUUAGUAUUUUGGUUAUUGUGAAGGGAUCAGAUAUUGGCUUCCAUAGACCAACUUGUAUUUAGUUAAUUAAUUAAUUAACGACAUUUAAUAUUUAACAAAUUAAAAUUUCGUGUUUAAUCUAUUUUAAUUUUUUUAAGAAAAAAGAAAAAGAUAUAGCAAUAGGUAAAGCUAAAAUAAAUUUUAAUUCCUUACAAAUUUAAAUUCAUGGUUGUCAGCUAAAUAUACUUACUUAAAGCCACUCAGUCGAGCCCUUUGAGAGCUGCUUUAAAUUUUUAGCCAUAUUCUUUUCUUAUUAAUAAAAUUCUUUUCGCUGAGAUUUAACAUAAAAAAAGGAGAAAAUAAGUUAUUUAAUUAACUCUGUUUUAAGUGUUGGAAUAAAUACAGGACUGGAAUCCUUGAGUAACUUGGAGGAGCUGGGCAUGAGCGACAAUGCAAUCGACAAUCUAGUGGUUCCUAAAGGUAUACAAAAUGUUCAAAUAUUAAUAAUUUGGAGGACAGUUUAAUUGAUUUGAUUAGGGAAUGCCCAAUGACACUUACCCAAAAUAAUUUAAUCCGAAAUUGUAUCCCAAAUAGAUUACAGAGGUUUGAGGUAGUUGAAUACCUUUUAUUUGGGGAGGGGGGGGGGGGGGAGGGAGGGAAAUUGCAGUGAUAUAUGGAAGCAAGGUGUUGCAAUAAAUAAAGAAAUUCGUUGGUCAAUAUUCAAGGACUCAUCCAAAGUAAUCGUUAAAGUCUAAAGGUCUGCUCUCCUCCAACUCAAACAUUUCUUCAAUGAUGAGAAUUAUUCAGAUUGUUGUCAGUGGGAAGGGGUUGAGUGCAACAACACCACUGGCAGAGUGAUUAAAUUAGAUCUAGGAGCCACUAGAAAUCGGGAAUCAGCAGAGUGGCAUAUGAAUGCUUCUCUGUUUUCUCCAUUUCAACAAUUAGAAUCUCUUGAUUUAACUGGGAACAAUAUAGCCGUUUGUGUUGAAAAUGAAGGUCCUCAAUUUACUCUACUCUAAUUCUCCCUCGUAAUUUCUAGCAUUUAUCUGAUCCCUUUUAGCUUGUGUUUAAUUUGUACGUGAUACAAUAAAAUUAGGUUUUAUUUUUUAUUUUUUAUUUUUUGGCAGGUCUAGAUAAGUUAUCAAGGUUGAACAACUUGAAGUCUCUUUAUUUAGACUUUAACCACUUCAACAACAGCAUCUUUUCAUCUCUAGGUGAUCUUUCAUCACUCAAACACUUUUCAUUGGCUGGUAAUGAAUUGAAUGGAAGUAUUGAUAUUGAAGGUGAGUAAGCUUCAUCCCUUCUCCCGUGUCCCAUCUUUUGUGGAUCUUAUUUCAUUGAGCAGCUGGAGGUACUGAUGUUAGAUCUAGCUAGACUCUUGCUAGUUUAGGCUUCAAGGCUUCGAUUACUAUAAAAAUAGGUGUAAGAAAUCAUCAAUACAUGCAAUUUUCAGUGCUUCUCAAAAUCAGACACAGUUUAGUCUAAUUAUUUUGUAUGUCCCGUCUUUAAAAGUAAAGAAUUGUAUUGUAAUUGGAAAUCGACAACGUAGCUUUUCAUUUUCUGUAAUGCUCUUUCUUCGUUAACAAGUUUAUAUCUUAAGAGAGAUUGGAUUCGGAAAAAGUUUUCACGCUCAAGGUAAGCCAUAAUAACUUCUUUCUUCGUUAACAAGUUCAUUAGUUCAAUUGGCAACUGUUUUUUAAGUUUUUCUGGUUAGCCGUAUACUUUUUUGCUUAUUAAUAAAAUUCUUUUGCGCCGAGAUUUAAAAAUAAAGGAGGAGAAAAUAAGUUAUUUAAUUAACCUUGUUUUAAGUGUUGGCAUAAAUACAGGACUGGAUUCCUUGAGUAACUUGGAGGUGCUGGACAUGAGCUUCAAUGCAAUCGACAAUCUUGUGGUUCCUAAAGGUAUACAAAAUGUUCAAAUAUUAAUAAUUUGGAGGACAAUUUAAUAGAUUUGAUUAGGGAAUGCCCAAUGACACUUAUCCAAAAUAAUUUAAUCCGAAAUUGUAUCCCAAAUAGAUUACAGAGGCUUGAGGAAGUUGAAUACCCUUGUCUUAGGGGGAACGGAAAUUGCAAUGAUAGAUGGAAGUAAGGCGUUGCAAUCAAUAGGAUCACUACUGUCCCUCAAAACACUUUACCUUUUGUAUACUAAUUUUACAGGAACAGUAGUUAAUCAAGGUAAGUAAAUCUUUUAUGUCGAAAAUAAUUGAAUUAAUAUAUAUAGCUAAAAUUUAUUGUUUCUAUUUCUUUCUAAAUAGAAUUACACAAUUUCACCAACUUGGAAGAAUUGAUAUUGGUCGAGUCUGAUCUCCAUGUAAGCCAGCUUCUGCAAAGCAUCGCAUCAUUCACUUCGUUAAAGUAUUUGUCAAUGCAAGUUAGUGUACUCAAGGGUGCCCUGCAUGGUCAAGGUAAAUUACGGGUAUCUGAAGCUUUUGUGAUAUUAAUUCGAUAAUGAUUCUUUCUUUUCAAGUUUAUUUUCUCCCGUAAAAUAAUAUUUUUUUCUUUUAAAUUUUAUAUACUUUCACUGUCCAAUAGUUCUACCUUCUCUAAAUUGUAGGAUUCUUGAUUAAGGUUAAUGAAUUUUUAGUUCUGUUAUGUUAAGAAUAUUUCGAUCGCUUAGAAGAGUAAGGAAAAAUAAGUAAAUUAACCCAAAAAAGAGAAAAGAACAGGACCGGAUUAUCCUUAUUCCCUUGCAUUAUGUGAUCAAUAUCAAAAUUAUAACCAUUUCUUGUUUAUUGCUUGUAGAUUUUCAUAAAUUCAAGAAUUUGGAACAUCUGGACAUGGAUUGGGUGCAGGUUAACGUCAACACCAGUUUUUUUCAAAUUGUCGGCGAAUCGAUGCCUUCUCUCAAGUUUUUAUCACUGGCAAAUUCAAGUCUUAAUAAAAACACCAUUCUUGAUCAAGGUUAAUUAAUGAUUCUCCUUCUCCCUCUCUCGCAUCAUAACUAAAUUUAAUUGAGAAUAUCUAUAAUGCUAGCUAUUUAUAAACUUAAUGAAAGUUGAUGAGGAGCCAUAUUAAUGACAAAAACAACUGUAAAAUAGUGCGCUGUUGUAGCGUUGAUUGAAAAAUAAUGCUAAUGUUUUACUUAACAACACUAUAAGUGAUCAAACUUAAUUUUUAAUGUGUACUUUAAAGAUUUUAUGCAAUUAUUUAAGUUUUAUGCAAUUAUAUUUUUCAGGACUUUGUCGGUUAGUGCAUCUGCAAGAGUUAUACAUCAGCGGUAAUGAUUUGAGAGGUAGCUUGCCAUGGUGCUUGGCAAACAUGACAUCCCUCCAAGUGUUAGAUGCCUCUUCUAAUCAACUUACUGGAAACUUUUCCCCAGGCCUUUGUGAGUUGGUGCUUCUGAGAGAGUUAUACAUUCACAACAAUGAUUUAAGAGGUAGCUUGCCUUUGUGCUUGGCAAAUUUGACUUCCCUUCGAGUAUUAGAUGUCUCUUACAAUCAACUUACUGAAAACAUCUCAUCUUCCCUCAUGCAUCUAAUAUCUAUGGAAAAGCUCAUACUUUCAAAUAAUCACUUCUUCCAAAUCCCUAUUUCACUUAAACCACUUUUCAAUCUCUCAAAACUCAAGACUUUCGAGGGUGAAAUAUGCGCAGAAACUGAGUCACAUUAUAAUUCUUUGACCCCAAAAUUCCAAUUGACUUCUAUCUCACUGUCUGGUUACAUAGAUGGUGGCACAUUUCCCAAAUUCUUGUACCAUCAGCAUGACUUGAAGAAUGCUGAUCUCUCACACCUUAACUUGAGUGGAAAUUUUCCAAAUUGGUUGGUAGAUAACAAUACGAACUUAGAGACGCUUCUUCUUGCCAACAACUCUCUUUUUGGAUCAUUUCGGAUGCCAAUUCAUUCCCACCAAAAAUUGGCAAAAUUGGAUGUCUCCAACAAUUUCUUUCAAGGCCAUAUUCCGGUGGAAAUCGAAACAUAUCUGCCAGUCUUAAUGGGUUUAAACUUAUCUAGAAAUGCUUUCAACGGUAGUAUUCCCUCUUCAUUUGCUGAUAUGAAAAUGUUGGAAAGGUUGGACAUAUCCUACAAUCAGUUGACUGGUGAAAUCCCUGAGCGCAUGGCCACGGGUUGCUUCUCAUUGGAAAUUCUUGCAUUGUCAAACAACAGUUUGCAAGGUCAUAUAUUCUCUAAAAAAUUUAACUUGACAAAUUUAUUAAGGUUGCAGUUGGAUGGUAAUAAUUUCAUUGGAGAGAUCCCAGAAAGCUUAUCUAAGUGCCGUUUGUUAGGAGGAUUAUAUCUGAGUGAUAAUCAUCUCACUGGUGAGAUUCCAAGAUGGUUGGGUAAUUUGUCAUUUUUACAAGAUAUUAUAAUGCCCAAUAACAAUCUUGAAGGGCCAAUUCCAAUCGAGUUUUGUCAGCUUGAUUCUCUGAAGAUUUUAGACCUUUCAAACAAUAGUAUUUUUGGAACUUUACCAUCUUGUUUUAGUCCAGCAUCUAUCGAACAAGUUCAUUUGUCGAAAAACAAGAUAGAAGGACGGUUGGAAAGUAUAAUCCAUGACAGCCCCAAUUUGGUGACAUUAGAUCUCAGUUAUAACCGCUUACACGGAAGUAUUCCAAAUCGGAUUGACAGACUACCUCUGUUAAGCUACCUUCUUUUAGCUAAUAAUUAUAUUGAAGGCAAAAUACCAGUUCAAUUAUGCCAGUUGAAGGAAGUGCGGUUGAUUGAUCUUUCUCAUAAUAAUCUAUCUGGUCAUAUUCCUCCUUGCUUGGUUAACACUUCACUCAGUGAAGGUCAUCAUGAGGCAAUAGCUCCAACUUCUAGUUCGCGGGAUCAAGCGUCUGCCUCUGUACUUCCAUCUGAGGCUCCAAAUGGAUCUCCGAUGGGAAAGGAAGAAACUGUACAGUUCACAACAAAGAAUAUGUCCUACUAUUAUCAAGGAAGAAUUUUGACGAGUAUGUCUGGGAUUGAUCUUUCUUGUAACAAACUGAUAGGUGAGAUUCCUCCUCAAAUUGGAUAUCUUACAAGGAUUCAUGCGCUAAAUCUAUCUCAUAACAAUUUGACGGGCACAAUCCCGACAACAUUUUCAAACCUGAAGCAAAUCGAAAGCUUGGACCUCUCCUACAACCUAUUGCAUGGGAAAAUCCCUUCUCAGCUCACUGUGCUAACUACAUUGGCGGCCUUCAGAGUAGCAUACAAUAACUUAUCAGGCAAAAUUCCGGAUAGAGUUGCACAAUUUUCAACUUUCGAGGAAGAUAGCUAUGAGGGGAAUCCUUUUCUUUGUGGAUGGCCACUGUCUAAAAGUUGCGAUGAUAAUGGAUUAACAACAGUGACAACAGAAGCUUACACUGAAAAUGAAGAAGUUGAUAGUUUAAUUGACAUGGACAGUUUCCUGAUCACUUUUACAGUAUCUUAUGGAAUUGUGAUAUUAGGAAUUAUUGGAGUUUUGUACGUAAACCCCUAUUGGCGGCGAAGUUGGUUUUACCUUGUUGAAGUAUGUAUGACCUCUUGCUACUAUUUUGCAGCAGACAAUCUUGUUCCUAGAAAAUUCUAUGGUGGAUGGAUGUAAUUUCAUUACAUUACAACUUAUAUGUAAUUUUCAAAGAAUUUUCUUUUGCAUGCAUGGAAUAGCAACUCAAUAAAAGUAUUUGAUGCAAAUUGUCCAAGAACAACUUAGUAAUUUCAUUGCUACUAUUCGGUUGUAUGUAUACAGUUAAUGAAAUUUUUAACCAUUCGCAGAAUACCCUUAGGAAUUUCUUUAGAUGGCGGCAAAAAACUAAGAGAUUCGGGGCUCUACACGGUCUGAAUGAAGAUUAACUUAAUGCCCUCAGGAUUAUGUGUAAGUUCUCUUUUAAAUUUAAGGGGUUGAGAUUUCAGGUCCGGAUGAAAGUUGAAUGCAGGUGACGAGACUUCACUGGGACAAACUUAAAAUAAAAAAUUAUAGUCCACAGUAAGAGCAAUGGGUAGCUUAACUUAUGGAAGAUAACUAGAACUUGGAAUAACUUAAAUUAGCUAUAAAAUUAAGACCAUUAUACAACUAAAAAGAAAGAAAAAUUGUUUGCUACUACAUAUCAAAACUAGUAAUAGCAAUGAAAGAUGGCAGACUUCUUACUUAAACAGAUGAGAGGCUACAAAUAAAAAAUUUGUGCAAAUAAAUAUAUGAUAAAGAGCAUAAUACUUUCUUGGGGGCUAAAAAUAAUAUACAACUUGUGAAAUAUAAAUUGAGCUACCGUUACCUUUUAGAUGUGGCAACUUUCGACUUUUGAGGCACUUUGGAAUAUGCAUUCAGAAUCCUGCAUUUGGAAGCCAAAUAAAUAAUGUUAAUAACAAUUUUACAAUAGAAAAAUUAAAAAUUGAUAAAUGGCAGUUGUAAUUUAUGUAUGUGUAAAGAUAGCAUCACAUCCAGGGUCCUCCCAUAAACAUGCUUGUAACAAGAAUUAGUUUGCCUCAACUGCUAGCAACUAUACAAUAGUAAAAAUCACUCUUAUGAACUCAACAAUACUAGGCACCAAUAAGAGUAUGAUACAGCCAUUCUAAAUGGAAGAGAAUACAACUGUUUUACAACUAUGUUGCAUCAGGAGAUAUGUUAGGAGUUUUAAUCCAGAUACCUUCCAACCCAAUUAGGAAAACUCGAGUCAGAAACCAGGAGCUGCAACCGAACCUUACAAUCUUGAAGGAAGAAGGAGACUUGGGGCAUUUUUCUAGAUAGGUGACUUACUAGAUCUACUGCCAAGAAAAUAUCUAUUGCUUUGAACCUCCAUUGAAAUUUCUUUUCCCUUUUUCUUAUUUUGACUUGGAACUUUCCAGCAUCAUCUAUUUGAUCUUUUUUAAAGCUAAAAUAGCAAUCUACGGGUUGUCAACAUCUUAUCCCCCCCCCCCCCCCCCGAGGGGCCCCCAAAAAAAAAAACAUCAAUGAGUUGUCAAUAAAUAGCGCCUACUCAACUUAUGUUCUCCAAUGGAUGACAAUGUGCAAAUCGACCUAGCAGCCACAUUUUUCCCCCCUUUCAACCACCAUUAGGCAACUUUUCUAACCUUUCUUCAUUGCCCACGUCUACAGAACUAUCAUAUAAAGACUACAAGAUAGACGCACGGUAUCUAAAUAAUUGUACCAACCCCCUCUCCUGAUUGUCAUAAAACGGCCAAUAUUUAACGCUCGACAACAAAAUUGCAAAUACUCUAGCCUCUAUAUUAUUGGCAUAUAAAUAUUUUCGGUUAGGUACAUUAUAUUCUUCGUUCUAAAACCUCAAUUAUUAGCUAGUACUGUGAUAAAAUGAUUCAUCACUGAAAUUAAAACUAGUUCACGUACAAAUAAUCAAAACUGAAAUAGAAGCAACGAUAAACCAACCUGUAUUACGUCGAUUCAUCACAACAAACUGAAAUCGAGGCUGUGUGUUCCUGAAAAUUGAAAAAAAUAAUAAUUUCACCAACUUCAUAUGUAAUACAAUCUCCAAAACACUGAAUAUCAAAUGAAAAAAUGGAAAGCAUAAGAUAGAAAAGAAUCUAAUUUUAUUGACCUUUUGACGACGACGAGAGAGCCUUCAACAUCCUUACGACUCCAUUGGCUGAGGUCGAUGUUGAACUCGUAGAAGGUGACAUGAGCGGCCGUGAUGAGGAUCUCCUCAAUGAAUGGAUCGAUUCGCUGAAGAACUGUCAGGUUCAGGAGUUUUGUGCUCUGCUGGUCCAGAUUAAGCAUCAAUUUUCCGUUAUGCGACAUUUUUCAUAGUCGUUUUGGGCUCUGCCCCGAGCACAAGCCCCAGGGUUUUUCUGUGAGCUCUCUCUUUUGUAAAUAAAGUGUUUGAUGAGAUAGCCGAGAGAGAGUGAAAGUGUUGAACAGCCAAACACGGUCUCGAGAUUGAUCUUCCUUUAACUUCUUUUAAACAUUUGGGAAAUAGCAUUUAUUUCUUUUAGUUUCUCUACUUUUUUUUUCCUUUAUGUCAUUUAGACCCCAAAAUUAGAUUUAUUAUAAUCCUAUUUUACCCAUACACUAUUAACCCCUUUUAUUUUUAAAAUUUGUCAAUAUUAAUGUGUUAGAAUAAUGUUAAAAAUCUCAAUUAUUAUCUCAAUGUUUCAAUCAUAACUAAUGUGAUGACUCAUUGGUAACUGCAACAUUAACUUAAUUAUUAAUGUAACACAAUAAAAGUUUGCCACUUCGGCAUUGGUCGGAGUGGUGGGAUGCUUGUGAGGGCAGCGGUUCAAGCCCCCACAAAAGCAUUUGUGGGGGCUAACGUUGUGGGGGCUAACGUGCUUAUUUGUUUAAUAUUUCAAAAAUUUCCUCUCCCUCGUGCAAUACGAGUGGAGUAUGGACAUCCCUCUUCUGUAAGGGAUUAUUUGUCUGGGCAUGUACUUCACAGAAUUCAAUGUAAUAAUAUAAGUCCCAAUCAUGUAUUUCUGAUUGUAAAUAUCAGUGUAAUAUAUCUGCUGUUGAUGCGAGAUUCUGGUUCUCCUCGUUCUACGACCAGGAUCUCUGCUCGAUCAACUUUACCACGACCAGGAGGUCUCCUAGUAAUGCUUCUUCUCCAGAUGUCCCUGCACACACAGACAAGUCAGAGUACGCCGGUUGUUCUCCCGGCGCAAACCCUCCGACGCUCAAGUCAGAUAUGAAGGUUCGGGGAACGCUUGCCACAGGUCUUAUGGCUUUUUCGUGGUUUUCUCUUUUAUCUUAAAAAUGCUAACCCUUUUACCUUCGUUGGCUACCUUUUUAUAGGCUUCUCCGAAUCCCCGUUUUCCGCUUUUUGCCAGACGGUAUGGGACUCUGACUGCUGCGUCAUGGGCGAAGGUGGGAUCUUGCGUGUUACGCCACGGUUCUGGGGAAAGCGUGGCUGUCGUGCCUAGAUUCUCGGGCUGGAGAGCAUGUCUUGCCAACUGCCGUCGACCGGGUCUCCUCGCUUCUCGACCUCUAGCCGGAAUGAUCUUAUGCCUCUUACAGGAAAUUGACCUCGCGGAUGACGUGCUCGUGGACGAGCAGGAUAUUUCUGCUCCUGUUCCCCCGCGCAUCAGGCUUUUACGGAACACACCGGCUCGAGGAACUCUGCCCCCAGAUAUCUGCUCACCAUGCCUGGUCUCGUCGACGUAUUUCUCCUAAACACCGGUCCCCCAGUUUCUGGUGUUGGGUAAUGUAGUGGACCAGCAGUAGAAACUCGAUAGUACUCGCUCACGUGGGACUGGAAAAGGCUGCCAAGAGUCGUGUCGCAUUUAAUUGCGGACGGGGUGACGUGGCGAAAAUCCCCCCCUCCAUUUGAAUUUCAAACCGACGGUUAUGAGGCCCUCGGGAUUCGGCGCUGUUAAAUGCUGGCAACCCAAGAGUCCGUCCCCAUUAGAAAAACCAAAUCCUCUCGAACGGCAUAUUCAUCAUCCACUACGUCUCCGUCUCUGUCUCUCCGGCAAAGAAGUUCCGGCAUAAAAGUCCUCCAUCUCUGAUUUUCACCGACUGAACCAUUACUUCAGGUAUUUCUUCUAUCUCCUUGGCCUCGGAUAGUUGUAGAUAAUUUCUCUUUUCUUCUGUUUGGGUAGUAGUUGGUGGUGUUGUGGUUAGAGCUUAGGGAAUGUCGAAAGGCAAAGAGAAGGUCAUUGAGGUUGACGACGACGAGUUGGACUUCCUGCCUAGUCUGCUCACCGACCCUGCUUUUGACCCCGGGAUUCCCUUAGAGCCCACUAGGUCUAGUGUCGGGACUAGUGCUAGGAGGAUGUCUCCCCAAACAACCUCUACGAGCGGAAGUAGUGGUGAGGAGAGAUCUUCUGACUCUGAGGAUACGUUGAGUGAGAAUGGCGAAGGUGAUUCUGGUGAGGUGUCUCCAUCUAGAACAUCACGACCAGGAGAACGGGGUACAGUAGGAGGCAGAGCCUUGUCGCGCGAUUAUGCCAUUGAUUACAUGACGUGCACGACCUCGUUUGACGAGCUCAAGGACCUCCGGCUUAGGUAUAGCAUUCCUGGUGAGAUACCUCUCAAGGUCCCAGGAAAGAAGGAUGCUCCCAGCCGGCCUCCUAGGGGAUACGUUACCCUGUUUUUAGAGAGCUUUAAGUACGGGCUGAGGUGUCCCUUGCAACCCUACUUUGCCCGGAUACUUAACGGGCUAAACCUAUCUCCUGGUCAGCUGAAUCCCAAUGGGUGGAGAGUGCUCUCUGGUCUGUUCAUAUUGUGGGACAGAUGUUGCCAGAGCGAGCCCACGGUUGAUGAGGUGAGACACCUGUACCAGCUAAAGAGCAGCCCCAAAGAUGCCGGCUGGUACUACUUCCAAUCUAGCACCAAGAGCAGGAAACCUAUAACCGACCUCCCCACUGGUGGUGGUGGGAAUUGGAAGAGAAAGUUCUUUUUUGCUGGGGGUCCUUGGGGUCAGGUUGCACAAAUGAACGGGAAGGAUUAUCGGGUCCCACCCCGUUUCACGGUCCCAGGUUGCCUGCUUGCUUUUAGAUGUCUUGUAUCCAUAAGUGUUCUUGCUUUAUUGGCUUGUCUCUAACCAAGUGUCUGUUUGUGUUGUAGUUUCUUGGGGUGUUCACUUCCCGCUCCCACCCGACCAGCUCAAACGGGUCGAGGAUGUGCUCGCCAAUUCCUGCUCGAGCCGGGAACUGUUAACUACGUACAACUUGCUCGAGUCUCGCUUGAUACUUCCUGGCCAUAGGAUGGAGGACGCUGUGAUUGGGGCUCUGACCCGAAAACGUUCUCGACCCCCAACCACGAAGAGGGACCAGAGUAAGGAUGCCCCUGUGGCAAAGCGGGCCAACAUCGUGCAGCAGGUCCCACCCUUGAAGAUUUUACCUCCUGCUCCCGUAAAAAUUGGGGAAGCUGGUGGAGCUGCCACAGAUCCUGCUUCCUCUCCUCCUCCUGUCGGGCCCCGAUCUCACUUACCUGACAGCCGAGCAGAACAUCUGGUCCUCUACUUCAAUGAGUUAACUAAACUCGUGAGCAGGAAGGAUCUGGAGGACUUUGACGGCCGCACCUUGGGUGAGUUGGUGGGGGCCAUGCAGCAUAGCGCUUUCCACCUCAGCUGCAUGACCACCUAUUACAAGGCUAAGGUUGGCCGCUAUGACCGGAAGAUGAAGGAGGAUAUUCAAUCGGCGACGACCAGAGCUGACGUUGCCGAGAAGAAAGCAGGGGAGCUGAAUCUCGAGAAUCUGAAGCUGAUGGAGCAAGAAUCACUUGCUCAAGCAAAAGCCAUCGCCCUCGAGGAGGAGCUUAUCAAGGUCAGGGAGGAUCUGCAAAGGCAGAAGACAAUGUAUGAGGCUCAGCUCGAAUCUCUUCGCGACUCCCACCGAGCUCAGGCCGAGAACUUGGAGAGGGAGGCCGACAACCAGUACGACCAGGGACUUCGGUAUUCCUAUCGUUGCAUCAUGGCCGUCCUCGGGAAGCAACACCCUGAUCUGAAGAUGGGUGACCUUGCGGCUGGUGUUGCUCAACAUAUGGACGAGGAGGCGGCCAAGGAGGAUGCCAAAGGGGUAGAGCCGAUCGUGAUAGAGGAGGAAAACUCUCCUCCUCAUGUAGUCCCUGCUGAUGUUGGCGAGGCGAGCACCCACCCCAAUGCCUCUAGUGAUACCCCUCCUGCACCUGAGGAGGUCCAGCCAACCGAUGCCGCUGGGCUCACUGAUCCACCAUCUUCUUGAUAUAUUUCUUGUAUUGUAAUGACAAUGUUUAUGAAGAUUAUUCCCUCUGUUAAUUAUUAACAAAUUAAUAAAAAUGUUUUUGAUCACCUUCUUGUGUCGUAAUUACGAAUUAAUUUUCGUUUGAGAAUCUGCUUGUCUUUGUCUAAACGAGCAGGUUCCGGCUUGGCUCAUGGUUUUGCCACAUGCCUUUGAAGAUUUUUCAAUGCUUGGGAUUCGGUUUGCCUUCGCGCAGUUGAGCAGAUCCUGGCACGCUUGGCUUCUGUCUCGCCAUAAGAUAGGCUUUGAGACUUGACGAGCCUUUGCAUGCCUUGGAUUCUUCAAAGCUCAGGAUUCUGCUGCCUUCUCGUGGCCGAGCAGAUCCUGGCAUGCUUGGCUUCUGUCUCGCCAUAAGACAGGCUUUGAGACUUGACGAGCCUUUGCAUGCCUUGGAUUCUUCAAGGGUUGGGAUUCUGCUGCCUUCUCGUGGCCGAGCAGAUCCUGGCAUGCUUGGCUUCGGUCUCGCCAUAAGACAGGCUUUGAGACUUGACGAGCCUUUGCAUGCCUUGGAUUCUUCAAGGGUUGGGAUUCUGCUGCCUUCUCGUGGCCGAGCAGAUCCUGGCACGCUUGGCUUCUGUCUCGCCAUAAGACAGGCUUUGAGACUUGAUGAGUCUUUGCAUGCCUUGGAUUCUUCAAGGGUUGGGAUUCUGCUGCCUUCUCGUGGCCGAGCAGAUCCUGGCAUGCUUGGCUUCUGUCUCGCCAUAAGACAUGCUUUGAGACUUGACGAGCCUUUGCAUGCCUUGGAUAAUUUCUUGGUUUCAAGCGUAAAAUUGCUUCAUUAAUGGCAGGAUUCGACUUACAUAAAAUUGUUUGGGACAUAAAGCGUAAAAGAUAAACGAUAAUGAGCAUGAGCAGAAAUAGCUCUCAAAUGUGAACAAAUCUUACUGGAAGUAUUUUCGGAGGUGUGCUGCGUUCCAUGGGCGUUUCACCUCGUGGCCGUCCGCGCGAACCAGCCUGUAAGCUCCGGGUCCCGCUAUCUGCUUGACUCUAUAUGGCCCUUCCCAAUUCGGUCCCAGCACUCCUUGAGUCGAAUCUUUGGUGCUCUGAUUCACUCUUCUCAGUACCCAGUCUCCGACCCUGAAUUGCCGUAUGUUCACCUUCUGGUUAUAAUACCGAGCAACCCUCUGUUGGUAAGUGACUGAUCGCUCGGCUGCUUGCUCCCUCCUUUCCGUCAGCAGAUCAAGAUUCAAACAUAUCUGCUCGUCGUUCUCCUGCUCAUUGAAAUGAUCUGUCCGGUGUGUGGUCGUUCCUAUCUCAGCCGGCACGACCGCUUCGUGUCCGAAAGCCAAAGCGAACGGUGUCUCCCCCGUUGCGGUUUUGUGGGUUGUUCUGUAUGCCCAUAGCACACCUGACAGCUCGUCAACCCACGCACCCUUUUUUGCACCAAGCCUGGUUUUCAAAAGCCUCUUGAUGGUCUUGUUGGCUGCUUCUACUUGUCCAUUCGAUUGAGGGUGAGCAGGCGAGCAAUACUUCAGCUCUAUCCCGAGGUUCUGGCAGAAAUCCCUGAAGCUGUGAUUAUCGAACUGCCUGCCAUUAUCCGUUACCAAGGCAUAAGGGAUCCCGUAUCGACAGACCAGGUUUCUCCACACGAAGUCUGUUGUUUUCUUCUCCGUGAUCCUGCUAAGGGCUUCCACCUCUAUCCACUUCGUGAAGUAAUCUAUAGCAACUAUUGCAUGUGUUGCUGCUCCUCGUCCUUUUGGCAAUGGGCCGAUCAGAUCAAUUCCCCAUUGAGCAAACGGCCAAGGGGAGGCCAUAGAGGUGAGCUUCUCUGGUGAUUGGUUGGAGAAAUUUACAAAACUCUGGCAGCUUGCACAACCCCUGGUCUUCUUUUGCGCAUCCUGGUGCAUUGUCGGCCAGAAAUAUCCCUGCCUUAGGACCUUGUGGGCCAGGGACCUCCCGCCAGAAUGAUUUCCGCAAAUUCCUUCAUGUACUUCUCUCAGCACGUAAUCCGCGUCGUCGUCAUCCAAACACCGAAGGAACGGUAAUGUGUAUCCUCGCCGAUACAGUACCCCAUCGAUCAUCGUGUAUCUCGAGGCCUGAGCUCUAAUCUUCCGAGCUCGCAGCUUAUCUGGUGGUAAUACCCCGUCUCUAAGGUAUGAAACUAUCGGGUCCCUCCACGAGCAUUUUUGUUCUAUCCGCAACACCCCCAAAUUCUGCUCGAUACUUGGGCUGGACUUCACUUCUAGAGGGACGGACUUUGGCAUUUUUGGGUCGGCUACUGCUGCCAUCCUAGCCAAAAUGUCUGCUCGACUAUUCUGCUCCCUGGGGAUUUGUAUCACCUCCACUGCUUCGAACUUCCCCAUCAUCUGCCUGACUAUCUUCAGGUACUGUUCCAUCUUCUCCUCUCUUGGUUGGAAUCUUUCACUGACAUGAUUCGCAACCAGCUGGGAAUCAGUUCUGAUCUUAACUCUGUCUGCUUUCACGGCCCUAGCCAAUUCCAGGCCUGCUAUCAAGGCUUCGUACUCUGCCUGGUUAUUUGUGACUGCAAAUUCCAACUUUACAGCAUAAGAGAUCUCCUCCCCCUCUGGGCCUUCCAGGACAAUCCCUGCUCCUGAACCCCGCUCCCCUGAUGACCCAUCUACAGACAUCUGCCAUACUUGAGUUUCGUCAUUGCCUAUAACUGCAUCUUGUUGACCUAAGCAUGUUUCGGGCUCUGUGAAUUCAGCUACGAAAUCGGCCAUUGCCUGGGCCUUUAUCGCUGCGCGGGGUUUAUAGUCUAUGUCGAACUCGCUCAGCUCUACAGCCCACUUGACGAGCCGCCCAGAGGCAUCUGGCUUGUGCAGAGUCUGACGCAAUGGCUGGUCUGUUAUUACCGAGAUCGGGAAGGCUUGAAAAUAUGGCCUCAACUUCCGAGCAGCAACCACAAGGGCAAGUGCCCAUUUCUCCAACGGUGGGUACCUGGUCUCAGCGUCGAGCAGGGCCUUGCUGGUGUAGUAUAUCGGAUACUGAACUCCUUCUUCCUCUCUCACCAGAACAGAACUGGCGGCCCGAUCCGAUACCGCCAAAUACAGAUACAACUUGUCCCCAUUCCUCGGUGUGGACAGCAGCGGAGCUUGCUGCAAGUAUUGCUUCAAGUUCCGGAAGGCUUCCUCGCAUUCUGGGGUCCAUUCUGUUUUCUUUCCCCUCCUUAUCACUUGAAAGAAUGGCUGACACUUAUCUGUAGCUUUGGAUAUGAAUCUGCUCAACGCCGCCAACCUCCCCGUGAGGCCCUGCGUCUCCUUCAGGUUACGAGGAGACGUCAUUUGCACAAUCGCCUGGAUUUUCUCGGGAUUUGCUUCAAUCCCCCUAUGGCUCACCAUGAAUCCCAGGAAUUUCCCUGACUCGACCCCAAAAGCACACUUCUCCGGAUUGAGCUUCAUCUUAUACUUCCUCAAAAGCUCGAAUGUCUCCUCGAGGUGUCUGACAUGUUCCUUCGGGAUCUUGGACUUGGUGAUCAUGUCAUCCACGUACACCUCCAUGGUUUUCCCGAUCAACGGCUUAAAGACUUUGUUCACCAGCCUUUGAUAGGUGGCCCCAGCAUUCUUGAGACCGAAUGGCAUCACCCUGUAACAGAACAAACCUUGGUUAGUGAUGAAAGCCGUGCUCUCCUCAUCCUGCUCGUACAUGGGGAUCUGGUUGUAUCCCGAGAAUGCGUCCAUGAAGCUAAGCAGACCAUGUCCAGCUGUUGAAUCUACUAGCUGAUCGAUCCUUGGUAAAGGGAAGCUGUCUUUUGGGCACGCCUUGUUGAGGUCUGUGAAAUCCACACACAUCCUCCACUUGCCGUUUGCCUUCUUUACCAACACCACAUUUGAUAUCCACUCUGGGUAACUGACUUCCCGAAUGAACCCUGCUCUCAGGAGCUUCUCCACCUCGUCAUUUACAGCCUCAUACCUCUCCUGGUUGAAGCACCUCCUCUUCUGCCUUACUGCCCGAGCACCUUUCUUUAUUGCCAGCUUAUGACACGCUACCUCAGGGUCAAUCCCUGGCAUGUCUUCAUGUGUCCAGGCAAACACAUCAGCAUGAGCCUGUAAGCAUUUCACCAACUCCUGCUUUUGCUCUCCCUUCAGUCUCGACCCGAUUCUGAUCGUCUUUCCCGGGUUCUCUGGUCCCAUGCUUACCGUUUCCAGAUCCUCUACAGGUUCUUGUCUGCCAGUCUUGUUUUCUACUCGGGUAUCGAAGGAUGUUAUCUGCAUUGCCUCCCUUGCUGCCGAGGAGUAGCAGCUUCUUGCGAUCCUCUGGUCUCCUCGUACCACUCCUACUACCCCAUUCACCCGGUACUUCAGAGCCAGAUAAUGGUUGGACAAUACCGCUUUGCUCAUCCUUAAAAACGGCCGACCUAGGAUCAUCUGGUAAGGACCUUCCUCAUCCACUACGACAAAGUCCAGUAUCAUUGUUCUUUCUGUUAGGGGGCUCCCAAUUGUGAUAGGUAGUUCGACCACGCCCAGGGGAACCAGCUUCCCUCCUCCGAACCCCUUCAAGGAGGUGUUGGUGUAUUCCAACUUCCGGUCGGCUAUUCCCAUCUCUUCCAGGGUUGACUUAAAUAACACAUCAACUGAGCUCCCUGUAUCAACCAGUAUCCGGUCAAACUUCUUGCUAGCGACCGUAGCCUUGAUGACUAAGGCAUCCUCGUGGGGGUAUAGGAUCCCUUCCUCAUCCUCAUCCGUCCACAUGAUUGGCACUUGCCUGACCCUUGCCCGUUUGGCUGCUGGGGUGUUGAGGAGUACCUCUUUACUGGUCAUGGCGUACCUAGCAUAAUUUUUUCUCGAUCUGUUUGAAUCUCCGGCCAACGUUGGGCCCCCCGCUAUCACCCUUACUGCGGGCUGCUCGUGCCUCAAGAUUCUAUCACUCUGCUCCCCUUCAUCUGUUGUGGCCACCAUCGGGAAAGUCCCAUCCAUAAACUCGUCCAGGUACCGAUUUCUCACCAAAUCUUCGACUUGGGUCUUGAGAUCUCUACACUCUGCUGUGGUAUGGCCAUGGGUGCCAUGGAACUUACAAUAACGUCCUCUAUCCCUCCUGUUGGGUAGCUUUGUUAUUGAUGUAGGGAGGUGCAGCAGCCCUCGAUCCUUUAUAGCCUCGUACACCUCAUCCAGGGACAUCUUCAAGGGAGUGUACCGCCCAUAGUCCUGGUGCUGGUCGAUCCGAUGUACUGCUCUUUCUCUGUUUGUCCCGCUCUGAGUUGGGGGCGGUAGAAGUACUUCUGGUCUGCUCGUCCUGCUACCGUGGGAAUGUUGAUGAAGACCACCAGAUGCCGGAUCAUUUCUUGUCCAAGGUUCCCUAGCUGGGGAACGAGGAGGUUGCGCCCUGCUGCGCUGAUACUGUGGUGGCCUCUGAUGAGGCUGGUAAGCAGUGACCCUGCCUCCUGCUCCACUACCGGAGGCCUGGUGGUCCCUCCUCCUGAUCGGCCCGUUCCCUGGUAAUGCUUUCAUCUCUCUCCUCCCCAACCCUUCUAUCUGGUCUGUCUUGAUCCGUGCAGCCUUCUCCUCUUCAAUCUCGAUGUCUCUUUUAGCCUGUUCGUAUGCGGCCGCAUACGUUUGAAUAGCUGGGCUUCUCAAAUUGUACCACAGCCUUCCUAUCUUCACCCCUUCUUUCAAUCCCCUUAACGCCUGAGGGUGGUUGAAGGCUCCCAAGUCGAGGACAGCCCGAUGAAACCUCUUGAUGAAUUCCGGAAGGGUUUCUUGCUCCCCCUGUUUCAUGCUUUUUAGCUCCAUCAUGUCAUCUUCCGGUGACAUUGCCCUACUGAACUGCUCCGCGAAUUCCUGGCACAUCUGCUCGAAGGUUUUAAUGCUGCCCCGAGGAAGUUUCAUGUACCAUUCUCGUGCACGUCCCUCAAGGGAUAGUGGGAACACCCUGCACCUUUGGGAUUGAGAUAAUCCUUGUACCCCAGUUAUGUCGUUGAAGCGCUCUAUGUGCAUCAGCGGGUCAGUUCUUCCCGUGUAUCUGAAGUCGGGGAGGCGGAAAUCUCUCGGAAUAACUGCCCUCAUGAUCUCUGCUGCGAGCGGUGAUUCUCCGUCCAGCAUUAUCCUCCAACCAGGGGCUCUGUUCCUCCCUUGCAUAUCGUCAAUUAUCUGCGCUAGUCUGCGCACUUCCUCCUCCAGCUGCCCUGCACGACCAGGGUCACGUGCUGCAACUUGAUCCCGCUCUUGCUCUACAUCUUGCAAGUGUUGCCUCAACUCGGUUUCCUCUGCAUUCACCACCCCGUCGUCCGCGUCACAAGUCUGUCUUGCCGGGGACCGCUCUCUUUCUCUAUGAAAUUCUCCCCGUAGAGGUGCGUUACCUCUCUCACCACCAAAUCUCCCUGUGGUUUGACUUCUCCCCGCACUAUCGGGACCUGGUGCCACUCCACCGCCUCUCACCCUUCCCUCUUGAGUUACCCUUCGCUCGCUCCGUAGCUCAUGCAGGAUGGUUGUCAAGGUCUCCAUCUGCUUUUCCAUCCGUUCCAUCCGGUCGAACAUGACUUUUCCCGUGCUUCACUGACUAUCUCCCUCAGCGUCACGAAAUCGUUAAGCCUCAUAUCACCCCCUUGUGCACUACUUCCUCCUGUCUCCAUUGCUUUUUGCUUACUCCACCCCUCUUCUUGCUAUCAACAGAAGCUUUUUGCUCUGGGUCCCCACAGACGGCGCCAAAAUGUUGAUGCGAGAUUCCGGUUCUCCUCGUUCUACGACCAGGAUCUCUGCUCGAUCAACUUUACCACGACCAGGAGGUCUCCUAGUAAUGCUUCUUCUCCAGAUGUCCCUGCACACACAGACAAGUCAGAGUACGCCGGUUGUUCUCCCGGCGUAAACCCUCCGACGCUCAAGUCAGAUAUGAAGGUUCGGGGAACGCUUGCCACAGGUCUUAUGGCUUUUUCGUGGUUUUCUCUUUUAUCUUAAAAAUGCUAACCCUUUUACCUUCGUUGGCUACCUUUUUAUAGGCUUCUCCGAAUCCCCGUUUUCCGCUUUUUGCCAGACGGUAUGGGACUCUGACUGCUGCGUCAUGGGCGAAGGUGGGAUCUUGCGUGUUACGCCACGGUUCUGGGGAAAGCGUGGCUGUCGUGCCUAGAUUCUCGGGCUGGAGAGCAUGUCUUGCCAACUGCCGUCGACCGGGUCUCCUCGCUUCUCGACCUCUAGCCGGAAUGAUCUUAUGCCUCUUACAGGAAAUUGACCUCGCGGAUGACGUGCUCGUGGACGAGCAUGAUAUUUCUGCUCCUGUUCCCCCGCGCAUCAGGCUUUUACGGAACACACCGGCUCGAGGAACUCUGCCCCCAGAUAUCUGCUCACCAUGCCUGGUCUCGUCGACGUAUUUCUCCUAAACAUCUGCUAUAAUAGCAGUUGUAAAUAUAUGUGUAAUGCAGUAAUAUGAUGAUUAAUCAGUAUUCAAAACACAAUAAAAGUUUCGUACAGAUUUUGAUAUUGAGAGUAACACAAUAAAAGUUUCAUACAGAUUUUGCAAACGAAAAGCACAUAAUACACUUAACUAGGAGGAAAAAUUAAGGUGUAUUUAUUACAAAUUGCUAACAAUAUACAAUUGUAAAAAUCACUCUUAUGAACUCACAAAUACUAGGCAGCAAUAAGAGUAUGAUACAACCAUUCUAAAUGAAAGAGAAUACAACUGUUUUACAACUAUGUCACAUCAAGAGAUAUGUUAGCAGGAUUAAUCCAGAUACCUUCGAACCCAAUUAACGAACUCGAGUCAGAAACCAGGGGCCCCUAACUAAACCUUACAAUCUUGAAGGAAGAAGGAGACUCGUGGUCCAGAUAGGUGACUUACUAGAUCUCCUGCAAAAGAGAAUAUCUAUUGCUUUGAACCUCCAUUGAAAUUUUUUUUUCCCUUUUUCUUGUUUUGACUUGGAACUUUCCAACAUCAUCUAUUUGAUCUUUUUUUAAGGUAAAAUAGCAAUCUAUAGGUUGCCAACAUGUUAUUCUGCCAAACCCCACCCCACCCCCCCGGGGGACAACAAAUCGACCUAGCACACACCUUUCUUCAUUGCCCACACCUACAGAACUAUAAUAAAAAGACUACGUUACUAUUGGGGUAGAGAAAAUAUACAGACUGUAUUAUUAUUACAUCGCAUUUUACUAAUUAACUAGUGCAAGACUUCUUUAGUGUCAAAUCAAGAACUAAUUAGAAAAGACAACUCAUGAUAAUACAGACCUUAAUAAGCAAUUGCUAACAACAUCCCAUAUACUCCUAUUUUAGCCUUCAUUAUCCUGGUAAAAACACAAAUAAGUCUUGCAAACGAACAUUUAUAAGUAAAUUCAACAUUAAUUAAGAUUAGGUAUCUACUGCACCUAAUAGCAUGGUCAACCAUCUAGUUCCUGUAGCCUUCCAUGUACCUAUGUUAGUUACAUUUUACAUAUUAAGCCACGAAAACGAAGAAUCACAGCCUGGUAAAGAAAGACAUUAAUUAAUAGUUUUUGUUUAAAAAGUUCUCCUUUAGAUCUUUCCUAUUCAAUGAAUCAAUGUAAUCUAAAGAGAACUCUUCCAUUUCAAACAGUGUUAGAAGGUAUUUGCAAAGCCUAAAGAUAAUAUACAAGGACCAAGAUAUACACAGAUGGUUUCUUUAUGGAAUUAAAGAGCUUUAUAGAUGUUAAAACUGUUUCAAACAAUUUUUCUUGUUUGGUUUAACUAAGGAAAAGCUUGUGGAAGAUUAAAAAUGAUGUUUCCUAUUCUCUGUAGGAAACUUUUAGGAGAUUUUUUGGGCUUUUUUGAAAGGUUGAAUUGUCAAAAAUACCUUGAUGUUAUUGUUUGCUAAAAGAUGUUACGGACAUCUAAACAACCAACAACAUUUUGUUAAAAGCUCUACUAGUGUAGGAUCUACUUAAAGAAGCUAUACCAAACAGACUCUUAGACUGAAUAACUCGAUCUUAAGUUUGUAAAAUUGGGCUCAGAAUCUCCACUAACAACCCCGCUUCGGUGAGAAAGCCCAAGCCUGUUACUUUGUAUAACCUUAUUCUGUAUGUUUGAUUGCAGGAACUGGCCGAUCAUACCGACGAGGUGAGUGUGCAACAUGAGGUGCUUGACGGGAUGUUUACUUUCUAUGAUUCAACUAAAGCUAGCCUCAACAUAUAUCAGGUGCCUGCUUGUUUUUACCUUCUAGAUACUAAUAUUGUUUAGACGUGUAAUCUCUCUCUCCAUUGAACGCUAGACGGCUCGUCUCAAGCCUUCUACGUACUUCAGAGUCCUUCACUAGCUUUUUAUGUAUAAAGUUUUGAUCUUUUUCCUUCAUUUGCUUGAAGCUCAUUACUGCAGAUUUUUUUUACAGGUUGGUAGUGUAACAUUCGACUUGCUGUUGCUUCUAGUCUUGGGAUCGUAUUUAAUUGUGCUUUUCAGCUUUCUUGUCAUAACAACUAGGGUAUCACUCUUUCUCCAUAUCAAGCUUGAAGUUCUAAAUUUCAGUUUUAUCUUGUAUUUGAUGUUUUAUAAUUUCAUUGCAAACAGAUUAGAAUAGAAACUUCAAAAGUUCCAACUGACUAGUCCCGUGUAACUUUUUCAGGGAAGAUUUUCUCUCAUAACAACUACGAACGUGUUAUGGUUUAGCCCAGUGACACAAAGGACAGUUUUCAACAAUUGAUCCUAGGAAGAUGCCCAUAGCUUGUUGUGCCAAAAAUAGAAAAUCUAAGAUGCGAAAAAAUUUUGUUGAGAUUCAUUUUUCAUCCUGAUGUUACCGCUGGCCUUUUUUUUUUUUUUUUUUGGCAGAGAAUAAUGCUUAUGUGAUUUCUGAACUUGGUGAUUGUUGAAAUGAGCUGAAAAUGAGCUGGAAAUGUGUUUGGUUAAUGAGAAAGAGAGCAAGAAAAUGAAAGAAAUCUAUUUCACUUUUUAUUUAUCAGCAUGAUUACAUUCACAAUGAAUCUAAGCUGCUAUUUAUACUUAAAUGACUACACACGAGAAUCUUCUUGCUAGAUACUUCUAGAAACUCUACACGCACACUCACACUGAGCUAGUGGUUACCAAAACCGUUACAACGAUAUUGCCAGCUCAGCAUAACCAACUUAUAACUAACACACUCAGCUGCAGGGGAAACCAUCAAGCUUACUGUGCGUCCUCUGUAAUCAAGCUUCUUUAAGCAUGCUCUGCAGAUCAUACGUCUGAAUUAUCGAAACAAGAUGAAUUAUUUUUUGUUUAUUGCAGCAGGCGAUCAAUGAGCGGAAUUUCUAGCUUGUAUUCAAUUCGCGAACACAGUUUGAGAAGAAUCAGACCAUUAAUUUUCUUUUGAGCCAAUCAACAGAAUGUACAUUUCUUCUAAGAACUUGUAACCGAAACCGCAGUUUUUCAGGUUUGCUCCUUCCUCAUAGCAGUUAAUCAAACGAUAAACAGAGAUAUCCCAUGUCAACAAGAAGGUAAUCAUAAAAGAACAACAGAAUUGUUGCAACAUAUUCAUAUGAAAUGUAAAACAAUUUUGAGAAAAAAUAUUGGGAAGAUAUUUUUUUUUCAUAGAAGUUGCAAUCUUUACGUUAUUUACUAGUUUGACUAGACUAUAUAAGGAAGCUAUAUGAAAUUAGAAAAAUAAGCUAUACUAGGAAAGAAUAAAUAUGUGUACAGAAAAUUAGGCUAUAAUUUUCAAAUUAGAUGCCAGUUAAUUUUAUCAUAAUUAGAUGGUAAGAUUGCAAAUUCUGCAGCCAAAGGUGGUACGGAACUGAAUGAAGGAAAUCAAAUAUGAACAUGUUUUCAAUCUUAAAAUAUUAAGAGUAGCAUAAGUAACUUGUGAAACAGUUAUAAGUUCAAGGGAAUUAGAUGAUGGCAUGGUUGAAUUUUAUAAAUAUUUGAUAUUUUGGACCGAACAGGGCAAACAGAUGGAUCCAGAUAAUCAAGAAAAACAUCAAUUCCAUGCAACCAAAUGAGUCUAGUCAAAGAAAUUAUUCAAAGAAAUCUCUAGGUCAGUAUCCAAAUAUAUGGCUCCGUCCGUUCCACCACCACAACCAAAAAAAUCAGAUCCCCCCAUUUGGAUUCGAUUGAUUAAUUUGAGCAUAUAAAAUCGGGUUUUAAACUUCCCUAAUCAAAAUUUAUAUUCCACAGAAUCAGUUCCUUUAACAUGAUGCAUUACAUAAUAUUUUGUUUGCAAAAUAAAGAAGAAAGAUGACAUAAUAGAAACACGCUAUUGCAUCUUUUGAAAAAGAAAAACGGAAUAGUUUUCCAAAAUUAAUUCCGAGAAGAAGAUUAACUAAUAAUGAUGUUAGAAAUUUUAAUAUUUGAGUCUUAAUAUUAUGUAUCACUCAUUUAUUAAAUAAUAGAUUUCAUAAUUUGUAAAAUUACUUAACCACUUGAUAAAUGUUAUAUUUGUUGGGACUAAAUUGGAACUUAAAUGUUGGAAUAUCUAGUAUUGCAUUAAAAAAUAAAUAAAAACUUAACAAUUUAUCUUCACUUGACUAAUUGUUUUUACAUCACAACUAACCUUAAUUAUUUUGAAAGUUACAGUAUUAUUAAAUUGUCCUAACUGGUUAUCCAAAGUUGAAGCAUGUUAAAAUAAAAAAAAUUACUAAGAAACAUGUGCUUAAACAGAGGUUAAAGCUAUGAACAAUUAAGAAGAAACUCUUAAUUUGGUCCCAGUUAGUAUAAUAAUCAUCUAUUGAGCGGUAAAAUAUUAAUUUUAAUAGUGAUGAAAUCCAAUAAAUAAUAGAUUACUAACACACAUAAAUUAAAACUUAACUGUCUGAAAUCAUAACAUUACUCUACUCUUCAGUGGAGUUCUCUUAAACAGAUUAUGUGAGAUUGCCUACAUUAAAAAUAUGUUAAGACUGCUUGUUGAAAGCAAUAUUCGCUUUUCCAUUAUAUCCAUAACUUUGAAUUGAUAAAGUUGUAUUCAGCAGCUCUUGAAAAGACUAAUUUAUUUUAACUAGUCAUAGAAAUAAGAGAGAAAAGGGGCUAUUUCUUGACUCAAAGUCAAUUAUAAUUAUCAAAACUUGAGGGGACAUCGCAUGCCUAAAUUCCACGCACCCUAAUACGGUUUGAUUUGCUUUCACGCGUUCAUGAAUUUCCAUGAAAGAGCCUGCCUUUCGUCUCUUUCGGGACAGUGACUACAAUAAUGGAAAAAAUUAUAAUUCUCGUUAGAUUGUAACCAAAUUAUUAUCCCUAAUUUUUUUAAGUUACAUAUAAUAAAAUUCAUGCUUAAGUAUUUAGUAAUUAGAGAGAGAUAGAGAGGAUUGAGGGCCAAUGUUUCGCGAUUUGGGGUCAAUUCAAAGUCAACUAACGUGUAAAACACGUGUAUGCAUAGAAAACGCUUAGAUUAUUUGUGUUCCAAGAAAGAAAGAAGACCCAUCACCUUCUUCGUGACAACAAAUGAAUGAAUGAUGUUGAUAUGACAAAUACAAGCGCUAUUACAGGGAACAGCAUAAGAUCGAGACUUGAUAAAGGGUUUGUUAAAUUACAUGUUAUUUUCUUUUGACUUGAAUGAUGUUGAAGAGAAAAAUCAAAUAACAUUGUAAUCAGGGUGAUGUGUGGAAUAUAGUGAAAUAAAUAAAUAGAGAAGAGAAAUUCGUUGAUCAAUAUUCAAGAACUCAUCCAAAGUGAUCGUCAAAGUCUAGAGGUUCGGUAUGAUUAGCAUUUAUUAUUAUUUUUUUUGGCUUAACAUCAUAUAUAGUCACCUGUCGUGUGAUCUAGAACAGGUUUAGAAAUCCUUUUAUUUUAACUUCCGUAUUCUUAUUAUUUAAUUAGUUAUAGGGUUCUUCAGUAUUUGAGUAUUGAUCACAUGUCUCCUAAUCUAAAAAUAUGUUUUUACGAGUACAAAUAACAAACUAGGAUUUUAACAGCCUUUUAUACUAAACCCUAAAAAUACAUGAAUUUAUCAAAAUAAGUAAAUUAAUUUAAAUUGGUAUGGCAUAAUAAAAGUUUUACCUGCCGAAACAAAUUAAAAAAAUAUUACACUUAAAUCAAAUAUUGACAAAAAUAGAUAACAAUCUAAUGAGAAUCUUAACUAGAUAUUUUUACUUCUAUCCAAUUUAACUGGAACGAGAAUUAAGUCCUUUCAAUAGUUAGGACUCAUAACUCAUACACGCUAGUUUGAGAGUGUGGGGUGUGACAAUGGGCCAAAAGACCAUUGACAAGUACAAAAGAGUGGUCGCAAUUAAUUCAAACCGCUACACACGCUAUUGCGUCUUUUAAAAAAAAAAUGGAAUAGUUUUCCAAAAUUAAUUCAGAGAAGAAGAUUUACUAAUAAUGAUGUUAGAAAUCUUAAUAUUUGAAUCUUAAUAUUAUGUAUCACUCAUUUAUUAAAUAAUAGAUUUCAUAGUUUGUAAAUUUACUUAACCACUUGAUAAGUGUUAUAUUUGUUGGGACUAAAUUGGGACUUAGAUGUUGGAAUAUCAAGUAUUGCAUAAAAAUAAAAAAUAAAAACUUAACAAUUUAUCUUCACAUGACUAAUUGUUUUUACAUCACAACUAACCUUAGUUAUUUUUUAAAGUUAUAGUAUUAUUAAAUUGCCCUAACUGGUUAUCAAAAGAUGAAAGCAUGUUAAAAUAAGAAAUUACUAAGAAACAUGUGCUUAAACAGAGGUUAAGGCUACGAACAAUUAAGAAGAAACAACUUACAAUCAAAGGUUAAGAUUAUGAACAAAUUAAGGAAGGUAUUGAGCAGAUAAAGGGACGAAAUCAUUGUCUGAAUUGCCGGUGACAAGAAUGCUUGUGUUGUGAAAAGAAACCUGAUGGUUUGUAAAUGGGUUGAAUUUUUUAUUCGGUCGCUCCAACUGACUUACUAAUGCCAAAUUUAUUACUUUGCACAGUAGUGUUUAGGAUCCUCAAGAUCAACUCUUAAUUUGGUCCCAAUUAGUGUAGAAAUCAUCUAUUGAGCAAUAGAAUAAGAAUUUUUCUAGUCAUGAAAUUCAAUAUAUAAUAUAUCCUUGACACACAUCGAUUAUAACUUAACUGUUAGAAUUCAUAACAUUACUCUACUCUCAAGGGGAGUUCUCUUAACAUAUUAUGUUAGGUUGCCUACAUUCAAAAUAUGUUAGGCUGCUCUUUGAAAACAAUAUUCCUUUUUCCGUAACUUUGAAUUGAUCCAAUAGCUCUUGAAAAGCACAUAAUAAUCAUUAUAAAUUUAAUCAAAGACUAAGCAGGUCUUCUUUCCAUUUGAUCACUCGCAUUUCAGUUAAGUUUGUCGUUUACUUAAAUUUUUCUUGCUUUCAAUUUCCACUGUUGUUUUUUUUUAUAUAAAAUAAUUUAUUUAAACUAGUCAUAGAAAUAAGAGAGAAAGGGCGCCAUUUCUUGACUCAAAGUGAAUUAUAAUUAUCAAAACUUGAGCGGACAUUGCAUGCCUAAAUUCCACGCACGCUAAAACGGUUUGAUUUGCUUUCACGCGUUCAUGAUUUUCCAUGAAAGAGAGUGCCUCUCGUCUCUUUCCGGACAGUGACUGCAAUUAUGUUAACGUGACGAAUACAAAACGUUAUUACAUACAAGAAUAAGUUUUUGGACCCGAGACUUGAGGGAGGUUCUAUCUAAUUCUAAAGAUUGUAACCAAAUCAUUAUCCCCAAAUUUUUUCAGUUAAAUAAAAUAAAAUUUAUGCUUAAGUAUAAAUAAUUUUUUAAAGUUAAAUAUAAAAUAAAAAAAUUCAUGAACUUCCUAGAAAGAAAGAAGACCCUUCACCUUCUUCGCGACAACAAAUGAUGUUGACAUGACAAAUACAAGCUCUAUUACAGGGAACAGCAUAAGACCGAGACUUGAUAAAUAUUAAAUAUAUAAAAUAAGUGGAGCAAACGAACAGAAUAAUAGAUAUUUUAUAAUAUUCUUCAUAAAAAUCCAUGUUUUGAGCCUGCCUAUAAGCUUAUCUAGUGAAGUCUGGGUAUCCGCGUUGCCCAAGGUUCCGUUUGAAUCCAGGCCGUGUAGAUGUUUAAGACAUCGCAUAUGGACGGAGUGGAAAUAUUUUCAGUUGACUGAAUUAAAUAAAAAUAUAUUACAAUCAUAUUAUAUAUUAGCAGCAAAAAUAAAAAGAAAUGAAGAAAAACGCAUGCAAGACUUAGACAAGUCAAUUAAAAGCUGGGAGUAUCAUCAGUUCAAUUGGUUAUAAAUAGCGUAGAGCCAUCCUCUCGUUGUUGCAGAACUGAAGCAAAGAGACUCAGAAAGAGUGUGUGUAGGUGAUUAUAAUUAAGAAGAUAUAAUGUGUGGUUCAAAAAGAGUGUGGGUGAGUGAGUUAAUUUUCAUAUUAUUAGUAGUAAAAGGGUGGUGGAGUGAGGGAUGUUUGGAGCAAGAGAGGUCUGCUCUCCUACAACUCAGACAUUUCUUCAAUGAUGAUCAACUUCUUCAAAACUGGGUAGACGAUGAGAAUUAUUCAGAUUGUUGUCAGUGGGAAGGGGUUGAGUGCAAUAACACCACUGGCAGAGUGAUUGAAUUAUAUCUAGGAUAUACUCGGAAAUGGGAAUCAGCAGAGUGGCAUAUGAAUGCUUCUCUGUUUACUCCCUUUCAACAAUUAGAGUCUCUUGAUUUAAGUUGGAACAAUAUAGCCGGUUGUGUUGAAAAUGAAGGUCCUUAAUUUACUUUAUUUUAAUUCUUCCUCCUCGUAAUUUCUUACAUCUAUCUGAUCCCUUUUGGCUUUUGUUUAAUUUGUACGUGAUACAAUAAAAUUACUUUUUAUUUUUUGUCAGGUCUAGAUAGGUUAUCAAGGUUGAAGUUUCUUUAUUUAGACUAUAACUGCUUCAACAACAGCAUCGUUUCAUCUCUAGGUGGUCUUUCAUCACUCAGAAACUUAUCAUUGGCUGGUAAUGAAUUGGAUGGAAGUAUUGAUAUUAAAAGUAAGUACGCUUCAACCCUUCUCCCCUGUCCCAUCUUUUGUAGAUCUUAUUUCACUGAGCAGCUGGAAGUAUUGAUACGAGAUCUAGCUAGACUCUUGUGAGUUUAGGCUUCAAGGCUUUGAAUAUUAUAAAAAUAAGUUAAAGAAAUUAUCGAUAUAUGCAAUUUUCAAUGCUUCUCAUAAUCAGACACAAUUCAAUCUAAUUAUUUCGUAUGUCCUGUCUUCAAAAGUAAAGAAUUGUACACUAAUUGGAAAUCGACAUCGUAGCUUUUUAUUUUCUAUAAUGCUCUUUUUUCGUUAACGAGUUUAUAUCCUAAGAGGGAUUGGAUUGAAAAAAAAAAAGUUUUGAUGUUCAAUGUAAGCCAUGAUAACCUGCAUCUUAUUUGUCUGCCGACAUCCAAAUUUGUGCACUGAAUUUAGUAUUUUGGUUAUUGUGAAGGGAUCAGAUAUUGGCUUCCAUAGACCAACUUGUAUUUACUUAAUUAAUUAAUUAACGACAUUUAGUAUUUAACAAAUUAAAAUUUCAUGUUUAAUCGAUUUUAAUUUUUUUAAGAAAAAAGAAAAAGAUAUAACAGCAUGUAAAGCUGAAAUAAAUUUUAAUUCCUUACAAAUUUAAAUUCAUGGUUGUCAGCUAAAUAUACCUGCUUAAAGCCACUCUUUUCGCUGAGAUUUAACCAAAAAAAAAAGGAGAAAAUAAUUUAUUUAAUUAACUCUGUUUUAAGUGUUGGAAUAAAUACAGGACUGGAAUCCUUGAGUAACUUGGAGAUGCUGGACAUGAGGGACAAUGCAAUCGACAAUCUAGUGGUUCCUAAAGGUAUACAAAAUGACACUAACCCAAAAUAAUUUAAUCCGAAAUUGUAUCCCAAAUAGAUUACAGAGGUUUGAGGAAGUUGGAUACCCUUUAUUUGGGGGGGAAGGGAAAUUGCAGUGAUAUAUGGAAGCAAGGUGUUGCAAUCAAUAAAGAAAUUCAUAGGGUCAAUAUUAAAGGACUCUCCUCCAACUCAAACAUUUCUCAAAUAGAUUAUUUAAUCUGAAAUAGUAUCUCAAAUAGAUUAUAGAGGUUUGAGGAAGUUGAAUACCUUUUAUUUGGGGGGGAAGGGAAAUUGCAGUGAUAUAUGGAAGCAAGGUGUUGCAAUCAAUAAAGAAAUUCGUUGGUCAAUAUUCAAGACUCAUCCAAAGUGAUCGUUAAAGUCUAGAGGUCUGCUCUCCUCCAACUCAAACAUUUCUUCAAUGAUGAGAAUUAUUCAGAUUAUGGUCAGUGGGAAGCGGUUGAGUGCAACAACACCACUGGCAGAGUGAUUAAAUUAGAUCUAGGAGCCACUAGGAAUCGGGAAUCAUCAGAGUGGCAUAUGAAUGCUUCUUUGUUUACUCCCUUUCAACAAUUAGAGUCUCUUCAUCUAAUUGGGAACAAUAUAGCCGAUUGUGUUAAAAAUGAAGGUCCUUAAUUUACUCUAUUUUAGUUCUUCCUCGUAAUUUCUUACAUUUAUCUGAUCCCUUUUGGCUUUUGUUUAAUUUGUACGUGAUACAAUAAAAUUAUUUUUUAUUUUUUGGCAGGUCUAGAGAGGCUAUCAAGGUUGACCAACUUGAAGUUUCUUCAUUUAGACUAUAACUGCUUCAACAACAGCAUCUUUUCAUCUCUGGUUGGUCUUUCAUCACUCAAACGCUUAUCAUUGGCUAGUAAUGAAUUGAAUGGAAGUAUUGAUAUUGAAGGUGAGUAAGCUUCAUCCCUUCUCCCGUGUCCCAUCUUUUGUGGAUCUUAUCUCAUUGACGGGUUGGAAGUAUUGAUACGAGAUCUAGCUAGACUCUUGCUAGUUUAGGCUUCAAGGCUUUGAAUAUUAUAAAAAUAGGAUUAAGAAAAUAUCAAUAAAUGCAAAUUUCAAUGCUUCUCGUAAUCAGACACAAUUAAAUCUAAUUAUUUUGUAUGUCCUGUCUUCAAAAGAAAAGAAUUGUACACUAAAUGGAAAUCGACAUUAUUGUUUGCUUUUGAUUAGUGGAUCAAAAAUCGACUAAUUUUGAUUUAACAUAAAAAUAAAAAAGAGAAAAUAAGUUAUUUAAUUAACCCUGUUUUAAGUGUUGGCAUAAAUGCAGGACUGAAUUCCUUGAGUAACUUGGAGGAGCUGGACAUGAGCGACAAUGCAAUCGACAAUCUUGUGGUUCCUAAAGGUAUACAAAAUGUUCAAAUAUUAAUAAUUUGGAGGACAGUUUAAUUGAUUUGAUUAGGGAAUGCCCAAUGACACUUACCCAAAAUAAUUUAAUCUGUAAUUGUAUCCAAAACAGAUUUCAGAGGUUUGAGGAAGUUGAAUACCCUUCGUAUAGGGGGAAGCAGAAUUCGAAUGAUAGAUGGAAGCAAGGUGUUGCAAUCAAUAGGAUCACUACCGUCCCUCAAAACACUUGACCUUUGGUAUACUAAUUUUACGGGAACAGUAGUUAAUCAAGGUAAGUAAAUCUUUUAUGUCGAAAAUAAUUGAAUUAAUAUAUAUAGCUAAAAUUUAUUGUUUCUACUUCUUUCUAAAUAGAGUUGCACAAUUUCACCAACUUGGAAGAAUUGAUAUUGCUCGGGUCUCAUCUCCACGUAAGCCAGCUUCUGCAAAGCAUCGCAUCAUUCACUUCGUUAAAGAAUUUGUCAAUGCCAGUUUGUACCCUUACAGGUGCCGUACAUGGUCAAGGUAAAUUACGGGUAUCUGAAGCUUUUAUGAUAUUAAUUCGAUAAUAAUUCUUUCUUUUCAAGUUAAUUUUCUCCCGUAAAAUAAUAUUUUUUUCUUUUAAAUUUUAUAUAUUUUCACCGUCCAAUAGAAGAGUAAAGAAAAAUAAGUAAAUUAACCCAAAAAAAAGAAAAGAACAAGACCGGAUUAUCCUUAUUCCCUUGCAUUAUGCGAUCAAUAUCAAAAUUAUAACCAUUUCUUGUUUAUUGCUUGUAGAUUUUCGUAAAUUCAAGAAUUUGGAACAUCUGGACAUGGGUGGGGUGCAAGUUGAUGUCAACACCAGUUUUCUUCAAAUUGUCGGCGAAUCAAUGCCUUCUCUUAAGUUUUUAUCACUGGCAGAUUCAAGUCUUAAUAAAAACACCAUUCUUGAUCAAGGUUAAUUAAUGAUUCUCAUUCUCCCUCUCUCGCAUCAUAACUAAAUUUAAUGGAGAAUAUCUAUAAUGCGAGCUAUUUAUAAACUUAAUGAAAGAUGAUAAGGAGCCAUAAUAAUGACAAAAAUAAUUGUAAAAUAGUGCACUGUUGUAGUGUUGAUUGAAAAAUAAUGCUAAUGUUUUACCUAACAACACUAUAACGUCGGAUAAUUUUUAAUAUGUACUUUAAACUAUCAGUACUCAAACUAUCAGUACUCAAACUUAAUUUUUAAUAUGUACUUUAAAGAUUUUAUGCAAUUAUUUAAGUUUUAUGCAAUUAUAUUUUUCAGGACUUUGUCGGUUAGUGCAUCUGCAAGAGUUAUACAUCAGCAGUAAUGAUUUGAGAGGUAGCUUGCCAUGGUGCUUGGCAAAUUUGACUUCCCUUCGAGUAUUAGAUGUCUCUUACAAUCAACUAACUGAAAACAUCUCCUCAUCUCCCCUCAUGCAUCUAACAUCUAUCGAAGAGCUCAUACUUUCAAAUAAUCACUUCUUCCAAAUCCCUAUUUCACUUGAACCACUUUUCAAUCUCUCAAAACUCAAGACUUUCGAUGGUGAAAUAUGCGCAGAAACUGAGUCACAUUAUAAUUCUUUGACCCCAAAAUUCCAACUGACUUCUAUCUCACUGUCUGGUUACAUAGAUGGUGGCACAUUUCCCAAAUUCUUGUACCAUCAGCAUGACUUGAAGAAUGCUGAUCUCUCACACCUUAACUUGAGUGGAGAAUUUCCAAAUUGGUUGCUAGAAAACAAUACAAACUUAGAGACGCUUCUUCUUGCCAACAACUCUCUUUUUGGAUCAUUUCGGAUGCCAAUUCAUUCCCACCAGAAUUUAGCAACAUUGGAUGUCUCUAAAAAUUUCUUUCAAGGCCAUAUUUCGGUGGAAAUCGGAACAUAUCUGCCAGGUUUAAUGGAUUUAAACUUAUCUAGAAAUGCUUUCAACGGUAGCAUUCCCUCUUCAUUUGCUGAUAUGAAAAUGUUGGAAAGGUUGGACAUAUCCUACAAUCAGUUGACUGGUGAAAUCCCAGAGCGCAUGGCCACAGGUUGCUUCUCAUUAGAAAUUCUUGCAUUGUCAAACAACAGUUUGCAAGGUCAUAUAUUCUCUAAAAAAUUUAGCUUGACAAAUUUGACGACGUUGCAGUUGGAUGGUAAUAAAUUCGCUGGAGAGAUCCCAGAAAGCUUAUCUAAGUGCUAUUUGUUAGAAGGAUUAUAUCUGAGUGAUAAUCAUCUCACUGGUGAGAUUCCAAGAUGGUUGGGUAAUUUGUCAGCUUUGGAAGAUAUUAUAAUGCCCAAUAACAAUCUUGGAGGGCCAAUUCCAAUCGAGUUUUGUCAGCUUGAUUCUCUGAAGAUUUUAGACCUUUCAAACAAUAGUAUUUUCGGAACCUUACCAUCUUGCCUUAGUCCAGGAUCUAUUGAACAACUUCAUUUGUCAAAAAACAAGAUAGAAGGACGAUUGGAAAGUAUAAUCCAUGACAGCCCUUAUUUGGUGACAUUAGAUCUUAGUUAUAACAGCUUACACGGAAGUAUUCCAAAUCGGAUUGACAGACUACCUAAGUUAAACUACCUUCUUUUGGCUAAUAAUUAUAUUGAAGGCGAAAUACCAGUUCAAUUAUGCCAUUUGAAGGAAGUGCGGUUGAUUGAUCUUUCUCAUAAUAAUCUAUCUGGUCAUAUUCCUCCUUGCUUGGUUAACACUUCACUCAGUGAAGGUCAUCAUGAGGCAGUAGCUCCAACUCCAAGUGGAUCUUCGAUGGGAAAGGAAGAAACUGUACAGUUCACAACAAAGAAUAUGUCCUACUAUUAUCAAGGAAGAAUUUUGACGAGUAUGUCUGGGAUUGAUCUUUCUUGUAACAAACUGACAGGUGAGAUUCCUACUCAAAUUGGAUAUCUUACUAGGAUUCAUGCACUAAAUCUAUCUCAUAACAAUUUGACGGGCACAAUCCCGACAACAUUUUCAAACCUGAAGCAAAUCGAAAGCUUGGACCUCUCCUACAACCUACUGCAUGGGAAAAUCCCUUCUCAGCUCACCGUGCUAACUACAUUGGCGGUCUUCACAGUAGCAUACAAUAACUUAUCAGGCAAAAUCCCAGAUAGAGUCGCACAAUUUUCAACUUUUGAGGAAGAUAGCUAUGAGGGGAAUCCUUUUCUUUGUGGAUGGCCACUGUCUAAAAGUUGCAAUGAUAGUGGAUUAUCAGCAGUGACACCAGAAGCUUACACUGAUAAUGAAGAAGGUGAUAGUUUAAUUGACAUGGACAGUUUCCUGAUCACUUUUACAGUAUCUUAUGGAAUUGUGAUAUUAGGAAUUAUUGGAGUUUUGUACGUAAACCCCUAUUGGCGGCGAAGAUGGUUUUACCUUGUUGAAGUGUGUAUGACCUCUUGCUACUAUUUUGUGGCAGACAAUCUUGUUCCUAGAAGAUUCUAUGGUGGAUGGAUGUAAUUUCAUUUACUUUACAACUUAUAUGUUAUUUUUAAAGAAUUUUCUUUUGCAUGCAUGGAAUAGCAACUCAAUAAAAGUAUUUGAUGCAAAUUGUCCAAGAACAACUUAGUAAUUUCAUUGCUACUAUUCGGUUGUAUAUAUACAGUUAAUGAAAUUUUUAAUCAUUCGCAGUAGGAAUUUCUUUAAAUGGCGGCCAAAACCAACAGAUUUGGGGCUCUACCUCUACACAUCAUAACAGGCAAAAGGUCUCUCUUUUACACUAUCUGAAUGAAGAUUAGCUUACGCCCCUGGAGUUCUCUAUUAAACUUGACGGUUGAGAUUUCAGGUCCAGAUGAAAGUUAAAUGCAGGCGACGAGACUACACUUUAAGUAAACUGGGACAAACUUAAAAUAAAUAAAAAUUAUAGUCCAGGGUAAGAGUAAUGGGUAGCUCAACUUAUGGAGUAUAACUAGGACUUGGAAUAACUAUCAGAUUUGCAACUCUUGUUAUAUGCUUGGGAGUUACAGUAAUCGAUUCAUUUCCUCCAUUUCUGAUGGUAACCCAGCUCUAUACAAGAACAAUCAGAGAAGGUUCAUUUAAGAAAUUUCACAACCCACGCUUUUUUUUCCUUUUUGCCCUCUUCCUCACAAUAAAAACACCUAACACACCAAGCCGUGCACAAAAUAGUCCUAUUUUAUUCAUGUCAUGAAUCCAAAAACUAUCCCAGCUCACUUUGUUUAACCAGCAUAACUAAAUUGUGGGUAUAAAUGAACACACUUUCGAAGCCUGUAACUUAUAAUAAGCUCAAACCCAAAAAUGACAUUUAAAUCCUGCAAGUGUUUUUCAUCAUCCCUAACAAAAAGAAACAAGAAUAAUUAUAUACCAAUAAUUUUUCCAUAAAAAAUACUGAUACCAAUAAUUUUUCCAUAAAAAAUACUGAUUUGAGUUGAAACACUAUACAAACUGGGUUUUAUACACUUGCAGAAAGCUACACGAUAGACAAAAUCUAGCAGCUACAUAAUGGUAUCACUUUCAGCUGGUCAUGAAUGGUGUGCAUUCAGCAGUGCUCGAUAGACCAUGUCUAUGAAUUGAUUGUCCUAUUACAUAUAAAAGCUGGUCAGCUAUACAAGGAAAAAAAUAAUAAUUGAAAAUGCAUCACAAAAAAUAAGUGUCUCGCAUUAGUGUUUGCACUCUAAGCAUGGCAAAGUGGUGCGGGUUCAUGAUUUUGAAGACUGGGAUAAGUGAAAAAUAGUUCAAUCCACUGAUGAACAUAAAUUUAUUUACAUGUCAAUUUAGAUAUCAUAAAAAAGUAAACAGUAAUUCACAGUCACUUAAAAGAGUUGAUAAAAUGCGUGCCGUGAAUGCAUUUUUGUACAUAAGAAAUCCAAAGAGUAUUUCUGACAAUACAAAUAUGCUAGCUUUAAAUCUGCUGUCAAUAUGCAAUUAAGAAGAUUAUACCAGCUGCAUGAUAAAGUUCCCCUAAUCUUAAUAACAGUAAACAUGAACAUGUCAGAUGCAAUUAUAGCUUCGAGCAUUUGCAUAACCAGAAAUCCUAACCUGAACAAGCACCAGAAGUGUCUCUCGGACUUUCUCCUUGUUGAUAAAUGGUCCGCUGUUUGAAGUAAGAGCAGGAGUAAGAGAUGGUGGAGGGGUUGGUAGUGGAAAAGGUUGAAGCAUUGGGGCACCAUAUGGGCGUUGCAGACUCAGGGGAGGAUUAAGUGGCGGAGCUGUUGGUGUAGAUGAAGAGACAAGCUGCAUCAUCUGUGCAUAGGAGGAUGGAGGAGGAACAAAGAAUAAGGAAGGCUUUACAAGAUUAGGGGUAGGUGCUGACAGAGGUGGAGAUGGUAUUUGCAAGGUUGGCACGAUAGGAGAAGCAACACUGGCGGGAUGAGAAGGUAAAGAAAUAGUUGUAUUGGACUGGUAAGGUUGUGCAGAGAUUGCUGCAUUAGAAGUAUUCCCCACAGUCAAAGCUGUCUGCAAUGAUAAGGACAGAUGUCAUAUACAAGGACAAGUGAUAACAUAUGAAAAUAGUAUGACUUGCUGCAGUUUUGUGGUAAUGUUGCAUACUUAUGCAGAAACAUAUUAUUUCAAAGAAAACAUACACUGAAGUAGUUCACAAAAGCAGGAUCUUCAGGAACAUCAGCAGCAUUUGAGGGAGUUGACUCUAGAGGACCAUCCAUAACUGCCAUAGUUGGAACAGCUUCCAGUUCCUCAAACUCACUGCAGUUUAACAUAAAAGGAACUUGAUGACCAAUUUAAGUAAUAAUUAGAUGAUAUAAGAGGUUAGGGAAAAUGAUGAGUGGACCCUUAUGGAAGGUGAUUUCACCUUAGCUAAACACGAAAAUAAAAAGAAAUCAAAGCUGAAUCCUCGAGUGCAAUGCAAAGAAUUUUUUCUCGCUCUUCUCUAACUCCUCUUAUUCGAAAUUGCUCAUCAUUGUGCUGUUCUUCGAGUUUUCGCUAGAGUAGAGAAAGCUAUUCUCUCGUUAAGUGCAGAGGAAAGAGAAGGGCAAGGGCCUGGUAUGAUGCUAUUCUAUAGGAAGUGAGAAGGUGAAGGGUUAAAAUAUUUUGUAAUUUGGAGGUGGUGUUUGUUAGUGUGUGUGUACUUCUGAAUUUAUUACCUCUUUAGGAUCCAUAGAAAUUGCCUCUUGUUCAGCAUGCACUGUGCCUACGAGUAAGACGAGCUUGCAUGGUAUCUAUUGUCUAUUUACUUGGAUAUUCAAACAUGACUACCAGCCACCAAACACAAAUCCCCAAACAAAACACUCUUUCAAGUGCAAGGAAAGAGUAACUUGGGCAUAUUUAUAGUUCAAGCACUACAAUAACUAAGAAUGUGAUGACUGUCCACAAACACUAUAUCAGUGCCUUUUGAACUACAUUACAUGCUCGAAGACUUUUUUUUUAGUCAUACAUAAAUUAGCUAUAAAAUUAAGACCGUUAUACAACUAAAAAGAAAGAAAAAUUGUUUGCUACUACAUAUCAAAACUGGUAAUAGCAAUGUAAGAUGGCAGACUUCUUACUUAAACAGAUGAGAGGCUACAAAUAAAAAAUUUGUGCAAAUAAAAUAUAUGAUAGAGAGCAUAAUACUUUCUUGGGGGCUAAAAAUAAUAUACAACUUGUGAAAUAUAAAUUGAGCUACCAUUACCUUUUAGAUGUGGCAACUUUCGACUUUUGAGGCACCUUGGAAUAUGCAUUCAGAAUCCUGCAUUUGGAAGCCAAAUAAAUAAUGUUAAUAACAAUUUUACAAUAGAAAAAUUAAAAAUUGAUAAAUGGCAGUUGUAAUUUAUGUAUGCGUAAAGAUAGCUUCACAUCCAGGGUCCUCCCAUAAACAUGCUUGUAACAAGAAUUAGUUUGUCCAACUGUUAGCAACUGCUAACAAUAUACAAUAGUAAAAAUCACUCUCAUGAACUCAACAAUACUAGGCACCAAUAAGAGUAUGAUACAGCCAUUCUAAAAUGGAAGAGAAUACAACUGUUUUACAACUAUGUUGCAUCAGGAGAUAUGUUAGGAGGAUUAAUCCAGAUACCUUCCAACCCAAUUAGGAAAACUCGAGUCAGAAACCAGGAGCCGCAACCGAACCUUACAAUCUUGAAGGAAGAAGGAGACUUGGGGCAUUUUUCCAGAUAGGUGACUUACUAGAUCUCCUGCCAAGAGAAUAUCUAUUGCUUUGAACCUCCAUUGAAAUUUCUUUUCCCUUUUUCUUGUUUUGGCUUGGAACUUUCCAGCAUCAUCUAUUUGAUCUUUUUUAAAGCUAAAAAAGCAAUCUAUGGGUUGUGAACAUCUUAUCACCACCCCCCCCCCCCCCCCGGGCCCCCAAAAAAAAAUCAAUGAGUUGUCAAUAAAUAGCGCCUACUCAAAUGUUUUCCAAUGGAUGACAAUGUGCAAAUCGACCUAGCAGCCACAUUUUUCCCCCCUUUCAACCACCAUUAGGCAACUUUUCUAACCUUUCUUCAUUGCCCACGUGUACAGAACUAUCAUAUAAAGACUACAUUAUUAUUGGGAUGGAGAAAAAUAUACAGACUAUAUUAUUAUAUCUCAUUUUAUUAAUUAACUAGUGCAAGACUUAUUUAGUGUCAAAUCAAGAACUAAUUGGAAAAGACAACUCAUGAUAAUACAGACCUUAAAAAGCAAUAGCUAGCAACACCUCAUAUACUCCUAUUUUAGCCUUUAAUAUCCUGGUAAAAACACAAUUAAGUCUUGCAAAAGAACAUUCACAAGUAAAUUCAACAUUAAUUAAGAUUAAGUAUCUACUGCACCUUCAAUCAAUGACUGGGUGAAUAGCAUGGUCAACCAUCUAGUUCCUGUAGCCCUCCUUGUACCUAUGUUGGUUACAUUUUACAUAUUCAGCCACGAAAAUGAAGGAUCACAGCCUGGUAAAGAAAGCCAUUAAUUAAUAGUGUUUGUUUAAAAAGUUCUCGUUUAGAUCUUUCCUAUUCAAUGAAUCAAUGUAAUCCAUGGAGAACUCUUCCAUUUCAAGCAGUGUUAGAAGAUAAUUGGAAAGCCUAAAGAUAGUAUACAAGGACCAAGAUAUCGAUUAGGUCAAAUAGUGAAUGUCAAAUAUAAAAAAUAAAUAAAAGAAGUUGUACAUGAUCAUUUACUAUCAAGUUCUGUAAAAUUGAAAAUACCAUUAUCACUGUAGAGAUUCUCAAACAACUCUUUAGCAAAUUAUAAAAUAGUUAAAAAAAGAACAAAAGUUUUUUUUUAAAAAAAGAAGAACAUCCAUAUCAGGAGAUGUUUUUCUUCUCAAUCUCAAUAUUUUCUAGCCGUGAAGCAAUUGAAAAGCUUAACACUAAGUGAAUUAUUAAGAAUUCAUCAUUUAAAUUCCCAAAUCGCAAAAUGUUGGUGCAACUAGGAAAGUGCAAAUGCAAUCACUUAACUAACACAAGAAACACCAAUAGUGAGAGCCCACUUUGUAUCAAAUUUGAAACAGAUAGAGGUCAAAAAAAUUAUACACUCAAUUAAAAGCCUUUCAAACAGCUUUUGCAUGGAACAAGAACAAAUCAAAGGCAAUGUGAAUGUAUUCAAAGACUAAUUUACAAUGAUCUACAGGACAUAAAUAUCUUGGAUACCUACUCUCUAUACCUUACUGUCCCACUAGAAAUCAUCAAAUCCCUCCAAACAAAAAUGACAAAAUGGAUAAGAAUUGUGUCGUUAAACUUCAAUAACUUAGCAGCCACAGCAAAAACUUAUGUAGGCACGCAAGCCACUCAAAAUAGUCAUAUUUUUUGCUUUCCAAACAAAAGCCACUUUGUAAUGAAUAUUCAUAAAUUGCUACUAUCAUGUUUGUUAAAACACGUGAAAACCACCAUAACUAACUAAAUGUAACUGAUGAUCAUCAUCAAGUUCAUGGAAUCACAUAUCUGACAGUAUUAAUUAGUGCAAAUGGCAUGCUUCUUAAAACUCCGUAUUUAUCACAUGGGCGCCAUUCCAAUCAACCAAUGAUUCUGAUCUAGUCGGCAUAUUCAACCCACGAGCGAGUAAUACCUCCUAUUGCUUCUUUACAUUUCUCAACGAAAUUCCACAUUCUAACCAUACUUCUGAACAUGUUGCUCCCAUAGACUAAUACAAUAUAAAGAUUUCUUCCCACACCACCUCAGCCCACACUCCUGAAAAACCAAUUUAAAUUCUCAUUGGCUGUACAACCUAUAGUCCAUACCAAAUUGAAAAAUUUACAAAUAUAGAACCUCAAAGAAUCUUCUUGUGUUCCAUUUUUUACGGCAAGAAAUUUGACUUUUACCACAUGCAAGUCAACAAAUAAAAAAAUCAUGUCUUUGUGAGAUGCACAUUUUCAGAUGAAUCUAAAGAGCAAUGAAACCGUAAAAACCGAAUAUCAGAACACCGAGGACUCCAGAUAUCACCUAUAGAAUCUUUGGUCCACACUUGCACGAUGAAAAUGAUGAAAAACAAUUGAAGGCUUCAUCACCAGCUCCCCAGGUUGUUUUGUUCUCCUAUCUCCUAAAUAUAAAGGAAACGCAACCCGUUCUUUUUUCCAAUCUUAAGGGGCACAAAACGACUCUGGUAUAAAAUAGUCAGUUUCUAUACAAAAAUAACUCCUUUGCACUUGGCAUUGCACAUCUCGAAAUAAAAAGCAUGCUAGAAAGAGAAUAUAAUAGCAUUAAACAAGUUUUAUUAACCAAACUUCAUGCCACACAAGGCAAAAAAGGAAUCUGUACAUGCCAGAUUCCAAGAAUAAUAAUUCCAAUAUACAAUUCAGGAAAACAAUAACUAAAACUAGGUUCACGAGGCCUCGGCAGAAGCAACAUGUAAUAACCAUACUCUAUUAUUUGAAACACAUUUCUAAGUUUGGUUAAGAUUCUAAACUAUUCUCUGUGUCAAUUAUUAACAUGUAAAACAUAAUAAUAUACACUUAAACUACUACACAAACUACUACAGUAGUAAAACCAGUAAAACAACAAUACCUGUUGAAAAGAUUUGCUACCUCUUCACAUUCACGAGCAUUGUAGAACCAAAUCCCAUUUACUUCUUGGGAUGCAUUUCGAUAUAACAAAUACAGAACCUGAACUUCAAACUCAAAAUCUCCCAAAAGAUUUUCCACUAAAUUAUCUGCACAUAUACAAGAUAUUGAAGCUUAUCAGUGCAAAAACAUAUACAAAAAGACAUGAAGGUUAGAAGACAUAACUAAAACUUAGCAACAACUGAUAAGCACAACAAGACAUGAAAUAUAACACUAGUUGUAAACAAGAUAGACACAUGGUAUCUAAAAAAUUGUACCAACCCCCUCUCCUGAUUGUCAUAAAACGGCCAAUAUUUAACCCUAGACAACAAAAUUGCAAAUACUCUAGCCUCUAUAUUAUUGGCAUAUAAAUAUUUUAGGUUAGGUACGUUAUAUUCUUCGUUCUAAAACCUCAAUUAUUAGCUAGUACUGUGAUAAAAUGAUUCAUCACUGAAAUUAAAACUAGUUCACGUACAAAUAAUCAAAACUGAAAUAGAAACAACGACAAACCAACCUGUAUUACGUCGAUUCAUUACAACAAACUGAAAUCGAGGCUGUGUGUUCCUGAAAAUUGAAAAAAUAAUAAUUUCACCAACUUCAUAUGUAAUACAAUCUCCAAAACACCGAAUAUCAAAUGAAAAAAUGGAAAGCAUAAGAGAGAAAAGAAUCUAAUUUUAUUGACCUUUUGACGACGAAGAGAGAGCCUUCAACAUCCUUACGACACCAUUGGCUGAGGUCGAUGUUGAACUCGUAGAAGGUGACAUGAGCGGCCGUGAUGAGGAUCUCCUCAAUGAAUGGAUCGAUUCGCUGAAGAACUGUCAGGUUUAGGAGUUUUGUGCUCUGCUGGUCCAGAUUAGGCAUCAAUUUUCCGUUCUGCGACAUUUUUCAUAGCCGUUUUGGGCUCUGCCCUGAGCACAAGCCCCAUGGUUUUUCUGUGAGCUCUUUCUCUUUUGUAAAUAAAGUGUUUGAUGAGAUAGCCCAGAGAGAGUGAGAGUUGAACAGCCAAACAAGAUGAGGUGAACAGUUUCGGAUUGAGACUCGAGAUUGGUCAAGCUUUAACUUCUUUCAAACAUUUGGGAAAUAGCAUUUAUUUCUUUCAAUUUCUC